UGCUUCUUUGGUCCUGAAAUAUGUCUUCGCACGGUUUCUGUUCUAAAAAGCAAAAUGCUUCAGGUUUCGGCAGUUAGGGCAAACAAUCAGGAAGGGAAGUAUAUAUAUUGAAAAGAGAGCCCAGACAUGGUGUCGAGAAUGAAGGAGAAUGGAAAGUAAGGGUAUGAUUUCUUUUUUUUUUGUCUUCUAAAAAUAAAUAGAGCGAGGUUAAGGAGACACAGAAAAUGGAAAUGAGGGGUAGGAUUUUUUUUGGUCUUCUAAAAAUAAAUAGAGCGAGGUUAAGGAGACACAACAAUUAUUGAUAGAGAAAAAGAGUUGGAGAAUUAGUUUUUGUGGUAUCAAUGGGCGGUAUAAGCCAUCAUGUUUGACAUAUUAUUUUCUAAAUUAGAACAAUUUUUGAUCAUUUAUUGUUAUUGCAUGGCAAUGCGUGAAUAUUUAUUGUAAAGUAUAUGUCGGACAAGAUUGAUGUUGAACCACUAGAGUACAUGCCCGUUGUCGUAGUAUAUAUACCAUUUCAUAUAUCAUGGCCGACUAUGAUGGUGUGCAUUCUUUGGCACUGGAAAUUGGCCCGGGACACCAUAGAGGGGAAAGGAUGGGGAGGGCGACGCCAUGGAAGGAAGGGGAGACUACGCUGAGAGAAAGAUGUCGGUUGAACGUCGUGGUUGGGAGAGAUGGCAAUGGCAUCAGCGAGGAAAGCAGUGCGGGGGAAUGAGAUGUGGGUAUGAGCGUUGUGCCAUGUAGUGAGAGAAUGAGAGAGUGAUUUGCUUUUUUUUCAUAAGAAAAACAAGAAGGUGCGGCUGUUUGCUUUUUUUAGGAAAAGCGGUUGUUUGCUAUGAGAGAAAUGCCACAUACUCUUAUGUAGUGACAAAUAUCAGAUACCUUAACAAAGACAUUUCUAGAUUUUUUUUACCAACAAGUGAUUUACAUGUGAACUUAUACUUUAUUAAAAUUAGAAUCUGACCCACUUUAGUAAAAAGUAUGAUGCCACUCACUCCGACUAAAAACGUAACCUACUCUCAUUUAGCAUCUGACCAAUGAAUAUAUGUUGUAUAUAAGCUUAUAUUUUUUUUAAAUACUGUUUAUAUGUUCACUUUUGUAUAUCAGAGAUAAAAACCGGUGGCUUCCGAGGAUGCUUUGGUAAAUGUCGAUUGACAAAGUUUUAUGAUGGUUCUGACUGAAAAAUCAUUGAGUUUUACACAAUCCGGAAAGAUGCAUACAAAUGAUUAUUCUUUAUAUAUUUGUUGCACAUCAUAAUACAAAAGGUUUGUUUCUAUAUAUCUUUAUUUUUGUAGAUUAUGGGAGAGAUGGAAAUGGAUUAUGUCGACUUUAAAAAAAUCCAUCCACAAAGGUGUCGAGGCGAUGUUGUUAGAAGGGACAAAAAAUUCACCGAGUUUUAUACAACGAAAAGCCCGUAGCAACGCACGGGCAUUCUAUUAGUAAUUUCUAGAGUUUGACUAUCUCACGUCUAACAUAACUUCACCCCAUCUGUUUGUGAUUAUCAAAAAAAAGUGUUGUGGCUCUCCUGCUGUGUCGGUUUUUUUGGCUCUCCUGCUGUUUCGCACACAACUCACCACGGACCACGGUCACGACCCAGGACCAAAAAGCCUAUAAAAACUACAGCAUACCUAACAGGAAUCGAACUGCUCGUCAACCCAUCCUUUCAACCACUUACACACAUAGGCAUUCAUGGCAAAUAAUCAAGGCAUGUCUUUUAAGGACUUACUGCAGCGUCCGGUUUAAUACUUUUUUGAACAAUUAUUGAAAAAUUGUGAACAAUUUUAGAACAUCGUAUUUUUAUUAAAACACAAAGAAUUUUUGGAACUCCAGACUUUUUUGAAAAGUCUGAACAAUAUUUGUAAUUCUGUAAUUCCAUAUUUUUUUUAAAAGACGAACUAUUUUUGAAAACCUUGAACAGUUUUUUAAGUGCGAUUUAAGAAAAUCCUAACAUUUUUUGGAAAACAUGAAACCUUCCCCAAAAUCGCUAAUUUUGGAAACAGGAGUAUUUUUGGAAACUCCCAAAGAUUGUUUAAAAACGUCAAUUAGUUUUAAUGAAAACAAGAUUUUUUUUGAAUUUCUAACCAAUUUUUCAAAAUUGGUACAUGUUUUGAACACUCAAAACAUUUUUUGAAAAAAAUAUGAUCAUUUUAUGAAAAUGCAUACAUUUUUUGCAUUUGCAAAUAAUUUAGAAAAAGGGAACAUUGUUUAAAACAUUCGAAUUUAUUUCGAAAAGCAUGAAUAUUUUUUGAACUUGCAGGAUUUUUUUUGAAAAAUACGAACCUAUUUUGAUAUUGUCAAACUUUUUUGGAAAACCCAAACAAAUUUUGAAAUACCAAAGUAUUUUUCAAAUCCCAUACACUUUUUGAAAAAAAAUGAACAUUUUGGAAAACAAGAGGUCAAACUCAGUUGUGUGUCAAUGGUGGACUUGCAACUGGAAAAGAAAUGGUCAGGCCCAGUUGUGUGUCGAGAGUGGACUUACAAAUAGGAGAGAAAAGGGUCAAAUCCAGUUGCAUGUCGAGGGUGGACUUACAACUGAGAGAAAAAAAGGUCGUGCCGUAGUUGCGAGUUGAGAACGGACUUGCAACUGGGACAAAAUGAAGGUCGGGCCCUAGUUGCAAGUCGAGGUGAGAUUGCAACUGAGACAAAAAAGGUUGGGCCUGCGAGUCAAGUGUGGACUGGCAACUGAAGAAAAGGUCAGGCCCUAGUUGCGAGUCGUGGGUAGACUUACAACUGGGACAAAAAAAAGAUCGGGAUCUAGUUGAGAGUCAAGGGUGAACUUGCAACUGGGACAAAAACAGUUGCGCCCCAGUUGCGAGUUAAGGGUGGAUUUGCGGGUAGGACAAAACCGACGGAUCUCGGGUAGGGGGUCCCGAACUGUGCGUCUAGGCGGAUGGUAACAGGAGACAAGGGACACGAUGUUUUUACCCAGGUUCGGGCCCUCUCGAUGGAGGUAAAACCCUACUCCUGCUUGAUUAAUAUUGAUGAUAUGGGUAGUACAAGAGUAGAUCUACCACGAGAUCAAGGAGGCUAAACCCUAGAAGCUAGCCUAUGGUAUGAUUGUUGUUCGUCCUACGGACUAAACCCCUCCGGUUUAUAUAGACACCGGGGAGGGCUAGGGUUACACAGAGUCGGUUACAAUGGUAGGAGAUCUACAUAUCCGUAUCGCCAAGCUUGCCUUCCACGCCAAGGAAAGUCCCAUCCGGACACGGGACGAAGUCUUCAAUCUUGUAUCUUCAUAGUCUUGGAGUCCGGCCAAUGAUGAUAGUUCGGCUAUCCGAAAAACCCCUAGUCCAGGACUCCCUCAGUAGCCCCUGAACCAGGCUUCAAUGAUGACGAGUCCGACGCGCAUAUUGUCUUCGGCAUUGCAAGGCGGCUUCCUCUUCCGAAUAAUUCAUAGAAGAUUGUGAACACCAGGAUAGUGUCCGGCUCUGCAAAAUAAAUUCCACAUUCCACCGUAAGAAUAAUAUUCACACAAGUUCGAUCUGCUGACGUAUUUCAUGAUAUGACAUCACACCAUGGCCAAGCCUUUACUCGAAUCGUUUUUAUUGUUCCACCUCAGCACGUUUAGCGAAGCGGUUUCCUUGGCACGUCUUAUCAAAGCAGAGAUCGUGUCCCCUUAUUCCGGGAUUCUCACCAAUACGGACGUGGGUAACCCAACCGCGCCCGUUGGCUCGCCCCCUCCAUUGAAGGCGAGUCCCAAACGGUUAUGGGGACGGCUCUUGGUAUUCAACCCCUUUAUAACGAGACCAAGGCAUGUUCCUUUUCUUCAAUCCUCAAUCGAAUCCGCCCCUCACCCCGAGUUCCGACACCUAAGGCUCCAUAUUCAGGCGCUUUGGACCUUCGACAAUGUCCGGAUCCGACCUUCAGGGCCGGUGGAUGCCCUCUUCCGUCACGGAAGAAGAUGUGCUAAAGCUGAGAGACGCCAGGUAUCUAACCGACGAAAUUUCGCAUAGGCUGCCCACCCCAGGGCAAAUUAUUCCCACUCCCGAGCCUGGUGAGAGCGUGGUGUUUGUGUCUCACUUCCGUCGGGGUUUAGGCUUCCCGAUGGACCCCUUCGUGAGGGGGCUCAUGUUUUAUUACGGGUUGGAAUUCCAUGACUUGGAUCCGGAGUCCAUCCUCCACAUCUCAUCGUUCAUUAUUGUAUGCGAAGCCUUCCUCCACACCACUCCUCACUUCGGAUUGUGGCUCAAGACCUUCAACGUGGAGCCGAAGAUGAUCGAGGAGCGGCAGGAAGAGUGCAGAGGGGCAGUUAUAAGCAAGGGAGCUGACGCUCCGUGGCCCGAUGGCUGUUUUCAAAAGGAGCUCGGUUUGUGGCAACAGGAGUGGUUCUACAUCACCGCUCCCAGGGGCACCAGAUGGGUGGCGCCGCCUGCCUUUCGCUCGGGCCCCCCACAACGGCUGUCGUCGUGGGUCAACAAAGGGCUUGACUGGGGGCCGUCCAAGGACGUGCCAUUGUUGCAGGGCCGUAUUCGAGACCUCCAAGAGAGAGAUCAAUCUGGUUGUAGUGGCGCAGGUCAUGCUGAUUCGGCGCCUUCUGCCCUGCAAAUGUUGCCCCCUCCGCCUGUGGGAAUUCAAUCCGGAGGGACCGCGAGCUCUCCAACACUUCAUGGGCGCGACGCCCGUGGAGAUGUAUAAACCGUUCUUCGGAUCACAAGAGAUGUGUCCGGACUUGACCCAGGACGCAGGCUUGAGCUGCAAUCGCCAGGAUACUCAACUAAAUAGUCCUGUGCCUGGACACGAUGUCCACAUAUUUACCAUAAACUUGCCCUUUAACCAGCUAUCCCUUGAAUAGGAGUGGAUAGCAAAAGCAAAGCUGAUACGGUGUCCGGCCCCCCUCCCUGAGACCACGCCGGAUCCUGUGUUAAUCAAGAUGCUGGAGGCUGCGCCUUUAGAAAAGGGCGAAGGGGAAAACAGGAAAACCACCGCCUCCGCUAAGGAGGCUCUUAAGAAAGGGGGGAUCGAGAAUCCCUCCCUCCAGGGGGAUAAGAGGGCCGCUUUUGAAGAUCCGGAGGCCAAGGCCUCAAAGCGGGGGAAGAAGUCUUCAGGAGAGGGCCCUGAGCCAGGAGAAACCCCGGCCGCACUAUUUCCCCAAGGGAAUCAGCCCUCCAGCAAGCCGUAAGUAGAAAGGGGAGUUUUAUAAUAAGGGACAUCCCUGUUUUUAUUUCUGAGGAUAACCGAAGUUUUUACCUUGUAGUUCGGAUCUCAGCCCUUCUCAGCAGAGCUCAUCUUCGGGGGAUCUUCGUCCGAAGAUGAUGGAGAGCGAAACGCCUCCAUCUGCCGCACCAUCAGGCAGGGCGGACGACCCUGAGGUGUCGUCGCGGAGGGUCUCCCCGGGUCCGGCGGGGCCGGAUAGUGCGGCACCAACUGGUGUACGGCCGGAGGAGCUGAAGGAUCUGCUCGGGCGGGCGUCUAUCUCAGAAGAUCACCGUAUGUUGAUGAGUAUGGUGAUUGAAAGGAUUUCAUCCGCUGAGAGCGGGUUGCAUGAGGCCGUCAGAAGUUUACUGACGGGGUUUGAGGUGCGUGAAAAUGACAUACCUUUUGACAGUUUUGCACAUAGAAUGCGCCCUGUAUAGAUAGUAGCCCCUGAGACUCGGUAUGUUGUCGAAAACGAUAGCGCGCUGAGGAUCAUAAUCUCAGUUAUAAGAUGUCGCCCUUCCCAUACAAGUGGCGGAGAAUUCGGUGGCCAGCGGGACUGAUGGAGUUGCCAAACUGAAGCGGCAACUUGACGUUGCGGAUGCGGACAUCGCACUGGUCAAUAAACGACUUGACGAGUCACAAGGUAUGUGGCUUCUCCGCGGUCACCUGGUAAGGGAGCUGGAUGCCCGUGCCUUACAACAUGUAUGCUUUAAUGCAGAUGGCGCCGCUGCUAUGGAGGACCUUCGGGCGGAACUUGCCUGAGCCAAGGAGCAAGCCAGAAAAAGUAAUGCGGCUGCCUUGAAGGCGGCCGAAGAGUUAAAAGCCGAGCAGGCUGCUCACUGCCGAAGCAGGGAGGAAAUGGCCGAAAUGGCCGUGAAGCUGAAGGAUGCUACCGACCGCUAUUAGUUUCUUGAAAGAGAAUGUCGAGUGGAGCAAGAGGACCUGAAGAAGGCCACCGCCGAAGCCAAGGAUGCCCGCUCUGCGAUGAGGGCUAUAAAGGAGGAGCUGCGUCGGGCCGGGGAUAUUGCGGCUGGAAAGCCCUUUCUGCUGCGUAGGAAGUUCACGGAUCCGAAGUAUGCUCAGUUGGGCCAGUUGUGGGGUGCGGAGGAUGCUUAUCUGAAUUUGGCAGCGAGUGCAGCGGACACAGUCGCACACUUCCGAUGUCAAAAGGAUCACGGAAUGGAAGAGCUUUUUUGGUCUCAAUUCCAGAAUCCGGAGCGUCCACUUCCGUUAACCGAUCGGUUGGCUGAGUGGGCUGAGGUGAACAGGUUGUCCGGACUUGCCAUGAAGAAUGUCAUGGCUCAUCUGUGGCCGAAAAGGCCCGAGCCGAAGAGUUAUUUUGGCUUGGUGCAGCAGUUCCUUGAUGCGGUGCCGCAUAUCAAGGCGAUGAAGCGGUCGACAUGCAUAGAGGGUGCACGGAUGGCUCUCGCCCGUGUCAAAACAUACUGGGCAGAGAUGGAGGCCACCGACGUUGCAUCCCGGGAUUCGGACGGAAGCCGAUUACCCGCCGAGCACUAUUUUGAGGAAGUCCUGCAGGGCGCUCGCUUAAUAGAGUCGCGGUGCUCAAAAAAUGUUAUGUUCAAAUGACAUGUAUGAUUUGUGAAACCGUGUUUCAAAUAUAAUAUAAGGGCUUUUUAUACUUGUGCGUUCAAGUAUUGAAAUACCUCAUGUGCGGCCGUUAAUGUAUAUGUGUAUAUAACCUGAAAGAUGGCAGUCUUCGGCUUCAGCCCCCACGCACAUAGUGCGGGGGUGUUUGCAAAAAAGCACAUUUUUACACUUAAUCCAACGUCUUGGUCAUGUGAAGGAGGUGAUAGCAUAGCAAACUAGGCAACCGGACUAUACUGCUUUAUCACUUCCACUUAGCCAUAGGAGUUCGAUGGUGGGGCUACUAUAUAGCCCCUAGGGGCACCGCGCUCUCCGAAUUCGGGGCACGUAUGUGCCUGACCGGGAAACGGUCCUUCGUCAAAGCGGAGGAAUUCUAAACAUUCCAGUGGUCGAUCGAGUGGUUGACCAGUCUCUCGCUAUAUCAUGACAGUCAGUUUUCGGCUUUCUCUACUGAGGUGCUCACCAGGCCGAACUGGGGCACAAUCGCAGUAGUUCUCCUGGUGCCGCGUUAGCCGAUAGAACGAAACGUAAGGCAGCAAAACACAGGAGCCGGGCAAACCCAACAUUUGACCAAAGACAUGAUUCGGAGCUGAUGCAUAUAAGGCCUAACUCGAGACGCCGAACACUCCCUAAGGUAUUCGGUCUUUAUGAAAACGGGCAGAACGAUGCCCUAAGCCCCUAGUGUCCAGGUAUGCGCGAAAACUUCUGACGCGGCCGAUGCCAAAACGCCAGCCUCCUCCUCGGUUAUGGUAAGAAAUCGGGGGAUGUGUAUCAACAAGAGACAGUAAAAAAGGUUUACGCAGGGUCUUAAUCUGAAAAGAAUCCUUGCAACGGGUCCCUACUGCACGUCUGCGCCUGUGUCUCCGUUGUGCCGUAUCCUGGACGGGUGUAGCACGUUGUUCAUCUGUAAAAGAGAAGAACUUAGUUUGAAAAAAAAGAUCAUGCGAAAAAUGUAUUUAAAAUAAACAGAGUAUGAUUCAAAAAAUGAAUAAAAUUGAGCUUUAUUGGCUCUCAUUGUACAUGCGUGCAGCCCCUUGUAAAGGGGUACGCGGCUAGUAAGCCCCUUGUUUAUUUAUACCGGACUCGCCUAACCGUGUCCGGGGUCUGAAUGACCUGUUUUAGGGGCUUUGAUCAGCAAAGCCGGAUUAGUAUGUGGUUGUCAAGGCAGUCUCACGUUCUUCCACGACCGAGGAACACUCGAAGUUACCCUUUAAUGAGAUGAUGCCGUGUGGACCGGGCAUUUUUAGUGUAAGAGACGCGUAAUGCGGUAUUGCGUUAAAGCGGGCGAAAGCUUCGCGUCCCAAUAGUGCUUGAUGGCUACUUUUAAAUGGGGCGAUAUGGAAGAUUAACUUUUCGCGACGGAAGUUGUCGGGUGAACCGAACACAACUUCUAGUAGUAGAGAGCCCGUACAAUUGGCAUAUGGGCCUGGCGUCACUCCUUUAAAGGAAGUGUUGUUAUGGCGAAUUUUGGUUGGGUCUAUCUCCAUUCUGCGGAUUGUGUCCUGGUAUAGCAGGUUUAGAUCACUGCCGCUGUCCAUUAGGACUUGUGUAAAUUGUAGUCCGUCGAUUAUAGGAUCCAAUAUCAAAGCAGUCAAUCCUGCGUUUCGAAUACUUCCGGAGUAAUCCUGAUGGUUGAAAGUUAUUGGUUUUGACAUCCAGUUUCGGGACUCCGCUGGGGUGGACCGUGCGGCGCGUACUUUAGUGGGCGCCGCUCUAUUUUUCCUUGUUAUCACUUGAAGUGAAUUCACUGUUUUGACCUCUUGUGAGAAAUUCUUUUGUUUUCCGGCGCUCUGCUUGUGGGGUUCGUCAUCGUCCUCACUUGGUGUGUCGAGCCCGUUGUGUUCGGCGUAAGUCGGCCGGACUGCUUGAAGACCCAACAAUCUCUGUGGGUAUGGUUUGCAGGCUUCCCAGGGGUACUAUGGAUUUGACAUAUCCUGUCCAAGAUUUUGUUUAGGUUAGAUAGCUCGUCGCUAUUGUCCUUGAGAGGCAGUGUUUUGUUGUUCUGCCAAGAGCUUUUGAAUCCGGCGUUGACUUUCGUGCUCUUUGGGUCAUUUCCCUUAGUCCGGCGCUGGUCCUUUCUGCGUCGUGGUUUCCCAUUUCCAUCCCUGACCUCGGAUGUACUUGGGUCACUGGUGCUGCAUCUUGCCAGCCAGCUAUCCUCUCCCGCACAAAAGGGGGUCAUGAGGCUUGUUAGUGCGGCCAUUGUUCUUGGCUUUUCCUGGCCGAGGUGUCUGGCGAGCCAUUCGUCUCGGACGUUAUAUUUGAAGGCUGCUAAGGCUUCGGCGUCCGGACAGUCGACUAUUUGGUUCUUUUUGGUGAGGAACCUGUUCCAGAAUUUGCGGGCUGACUCUCCGGGCUGUUAAGUUAUGUGACUUAAAUCGUCUGCAUCCGGAGGGCGGACAUAAGUCCCCUGAAAAUUUGCCCGAAACGCAUCCUCGAGCUCUUCCCAACUUCCAAUGGUAUUUUCUGGGAGGCUUUUGAGCCAAUGCCGGGCUGGCCCUUUGAGCUUGAGGGGUAAGUAUUUUAUGGCAUGGAGGUCAUCUCCUCUAGCCAUAUGUAUGUGUAGGAUGUAAUCCUCAAUCCAGACUCCGAGGUCUGUUGUUCCGUCAUAUGCCUCUAUGUUUACGGGCUUGAAUCCCGCUAGAAAUUCAUGAUCCAGUACCUCAUCGGUGAAACAUAGGGGUGUGCGGCGCCCCUGUAUUUGGGUGUGUCGUUAUUUUCGAAUACUCGACGUGUUGUGUUGCUUUCUGGAGCUUUCUUUCUUGGCCCAUAGAUGGACCUGACCGGGCCAUCCUUUUUGCGAGGAUCCUUAUGUGGAUCGCGUGCCGGCUUGUGUGCGGUGCCGCUUGCCGCUCUUUGUUUGUCAUGUGGUCGUCUAUCCGACCGGGCGGCCUCUUUGUUUUUGUUAGGUUUCGUAGUAAUUUCAAAAUUUUCCUACGCACACGCAGGAUCAUGUGAUGCAUAGCAACGAGGGGAAGAGUAUUGUCUACGUACCCUACGCAGACCGACUGCGGAAGCGAUGACACGAUGUGGAGGAAGUAGUCGUACGUCUUCACGAUCCAACCGAUCAAGCACCGAAACUACGGCACCUCCGAGUUCGAGCACACGUUCAGCUCGAUGACGAUCCCCGGACUCCGAUCCAGCAAAGUGUCGGGGAAGAGUUCCGUCAGCACGACGGCGUGGUGACGAUCUUGAUGAACUACAGCAGCAGGGCUUCGCCUAAACUCCGCUACAGUAUUAUCGAGGAAUAUGGUGGCAGGGGGCACCGCACACGGCUAAGGAAUCGAUCACGUGGAUCAACUUGUGUCAACUUGUGUGUUUAGAGGUGCCCCUGCCUCCGUAUAUAAAGGAGUAGAGGGGGGGAGGCUGGCCGGCCAUAGAGGGAGGCGCAGGAGAGUCCUACUCCCUCUGGGAGUAGGAUUCCUCCCCCCAAUCCUAGUCCAACUAGGAUUCCUCGGAGGGGAAGGGAGAGAGGGGGGCCGGCCACCUUCUCCUAGUCCUAAUAGGACUAGGGGAGGGGGAAGAGGCGCAGCCACCUUGGGCUGCCCCUUUCUCCUUUCCACUAAGGCCCAUGAAGGCCCAUAUGGCUCCCGGGGGGUUCCGGUAACCCUCCCGGUAACCCGGUAAAAUCCCGAUUUCACCCGGAACACUUCCGAUGUCCAAACAUAGGCUUCCAAUAUAUCAAUCUUUACGUCUCGACCAUUUUGAGACUCCUCGUCAUGUCCGUGAUCACAUCCGGGACUCCGAACAACCUUCGGUACAUCAAAAUGCAUAAACUCAUAAUAUUACUGUCAUCGUUACCUUAAGCGUGCGGACCCUACGGGUUCGAGAACAAUGUAGACAUGACCGAGACACGUCUCUGGUCAAUAACCAAUAGCGGGACCUGGAUGCCCAUAUUGGCUCCUACAUAUUCUACGAAGAUCUUUAUCGGUCAGACCGCAUAACAACAUACGUUGUUCCCUUUGUCAUCGGUAUGUUACUUGCCCGAGAUUCGAUCGUCGGUAUCCAAUACCUAGUUCAAUCUCGUUAUCGGCAAGUCUCUUUACUCGUUCUGUAAUACAUCAUCUCACAACUAACAUAUUAGUUGUAAUGCUUGCAAGGCUUAUGUGAUGUGUAUUACCGAGAGGGCCCAGAGAUACCUCUCCAUCAAUCGGAGUGACAAAUCCUAAUCUCGAAAUACGCCAACCCAACAUCGACCAUUGGAGACACCUGUAGUACUCCUUUAUAAUCACCCAGUUACGUUGUGACGUUUGGUAGUACCCAAAGUAUUCCUCCGGUAAACGGGAGUUGCAUAAUCUCAUAGUCAUAGGAACAUGUAUAAGUCAUGAAGAAAGCAAUAGCAACAUACUAAACGAUCGGGUGCUAAGCUAAUGGAAUGGGUCAUGUCAAUCAGAUCAUUCUACUAAUGAUGUGACCUCGUUAAUCAAAUAACAACUCAUUGUUCAUGGUUAGGAAACAUAACCAUCUUUGAUUAACGAGCUAGUUAAGUAGAGGCAUACUAGUGACACUCUGUUUGUCUAUGUAUUCACACAUGUAUUAUGUUUCCGGUAAAUACAAUUCUAGCAUGAAUAAUAAACAUUUAUCAUGAUUAUAAGGAAAUAAAUAAUAACUUUAUUAUUGCCUCUAGGGCAUAUUUCCUUCAGUUUUUUGAUUGUGGGGGCUCUACGGCCUCCUCGUCAAAUUCGGGCAAUAGUUUGCGCUUUGGGUAGCUCUUUGCUUGGCGGCUAUCGCCGUAUUUGUCUGCGGUCUUUAGUACUUUGCUCCAUCUCAUUCUGAGUAUGUCUUCCGCUGUUUUGAGCUUCCGCUUCUACUUCUUCAGACUUCGUGCAGUGGUGACGAGCCUUUUGUGAAGGUUCUUCUGCUCCAAUGAUGUGUUCGGCGUGAGAUCAUCCGGACUGUUGUUUUCGCCGGGGAUGGGUUGUUUAUCCAACUCAUCCUGUUCGGAUGGUUGCUUGGUGGCAUGUUCGUCAUCCACUGGUUCGCCCUGCUCUACGGCUGGGUCUGUGUGGGUGCUGUCGUUGUCGAGGCGGGACUUUGGGCGGCGCUUGCGGCGCCGUUUCGGCUGUUUUUCGGGGGAAUUAUCCUUCGCAGCGUCCCGUUGUUCCUCGUUAUCGCUUCCUUUUGGUGUAUCCACCAUAUAUACAUCAUGAGUUGAGGUGGCUUUCCAGUGCCCUGUGGGUGCUGGUUCUUGGUCGUCUCCGACAUCGUCGUCCAUACCGUCGAUAUCUUCGGAGUCGAAAUCUAGCAUAUCGGUUAAGUCAUCGACAGUGGCUACAAAGUGGGUGGUGGGUGGGCUUUGAAUUUCUUCGUCGUCCGCAUCCCAACCGUCCUGGCCAUAAUCCGACCAAGGCUCUCCUGAUAAAGAGAGGCACUUUAGCGAAUUCAGGAUGUCGCCAAAAGGCGAGUGCUGAAAGAUGUCCGUAGCGGUGGACUCCAUGAUCGGCGUCCAAUCGGAUUUGAUUGGCAGGAGCGCGGAAGGUUCGGGAUCCGGAGAAGAGUCCGGCACCUUGGAGUCACAAGCUUUACAAGGGACAUGGUCGGUAUUCGGCUCCAUCGUCGUAGCAGCCCCCGAGGCGGUGUCUAGCCACCCAUCCUCGAUUGGCGCAGUCGGCUCCGAGUUAAGGGUUGGAGCGGACUCUUGUGCGGCUUCCAGGGCACUGUCCGGCAGCAGAGCUAAAUCAUGCCCAUCGUGACAGUGCGGCGCGCUUGGCUGCGGCUCGAAUCCGUCGAAGAUCAAGUCUCCACGGAUGUCGGCCGUAUAGUUCAAACUUCUAAAUCUGACCUGAUGGCCAGGGGCGUAGCUUUCGAUCUGCUCCAGAUGGCCAAGCGAAUUGGCCCGCAGUGCAAAGUCACCGAAUACGAAGAUCUGUCCGGGGAGAAAAGUCUCACCCUGGACUGUGUCGCUGUUGAUGAUCGAAGGAGCCAUCGGGCCUAUGAGCGACGACACAGAGGAACUCUCAAUGAAAGCAUCAAUGUCGGUGUCAAAACCGGCGGAUCUCGGGUAGGGGGUCCCGAACUGUGCGUCUAGGCGGAUGGUAACAGGAGACAAGGGACACGAUGUUUUUACCCAGGUUCGGGCCCUCUCGAUGGAGGUAAAACCCUACUCCUGCUUGAUUAAUAUUGAUGAUAUGGGUAGUACAAGAGUAGAUCUACCACGAGAUCAAGGAGGCUAAACCCUAGAAGCUAGCCUAUGGUAUGAUUGUUGUUCGUCCUACGGACUAAAACCCUCCGGUUUAUAUAGACACCGGGGAAGGCUAGGGUUACACAGAGUCGGUUACAAUGGUAGGAGAUCUACAUAUCCGUAUCGCCAAGCUUGCCUUCCACGCCAAGGAAAGUCCCAUCCGGACACGGGACGAAGUCUUCAAUCUUGUAUCUUCAUAGUCUUGGAGUCCGGCCAAUGAUGAUAGUUCGGCUAUCCGGACACCCCCUAGUCCAGGACUCCCUCAGUCAGGCCCUAGUUGCGAGUCAUGGGUAGACUUACAACUGGGACAAAAAAAGAUCGGGAUCUAGUUGCGAGUCAAGGGUGAACUUGCAACUGGGACAAAAACAGUUGCGCCCCAGUUGCGAGUUAAGGGUGGAUUUGCGGGUAGGACAAAAAAAAGUGUUGGCACCAGUUGCGAGUCGAGGGGGUACUUAAGGCUGAGGGAGAAAAUGUCGGCCUGAGUUGCGAGUUGAGGGUGGAGUUGAAAGUAGGGCAAAAAAAGAUCGAGCUCCAGUUGCGAAUCAAGGAUGGACUUGCAACUGAGAAAUAAAAGGUCGGACCCUAGUUGCGAGUUGAUUCUAGACUCGUAACUGGGACAAAAAAAGGUCAGGACCCAGUUGUGAGUUGAGGAUGGACUCGUAAUUGGAGAAAAAAUGGUGGGCCAAGUUGCGAGUCGACGAUAGACUUGUAACUGGAAACAAAAGUUGACCCUAGUUGUGAGUCGAGGUUGGACUAUCAACCGAAAAAAGGCCGACCUCGUUUGUAAGUCGAUGGGUGAACUUGUAACUAGGAUAAAAAAAGGCAGGCUCCACUUGCGAGUCGACGGUGGACUUGCAAUUGGGACUAAAAAAGGUCGGGUUCCGUUGCGAGUCGAGAGUGAACUUGCAACUGGGACACAAAAGGUUGCCUUAGUUGAGAAUCGAGAGUAGACUUGCAAUUGAAAAAAAAAGAGUUCGGGCCUAAUUGCGAGUCGAGGUAGACUUGUGACUGAGACAAAAAAAAGGUCGUUGUUCAGUUGCGAGUCGAGGAUGGGAUUGUAACUCGGACGAAAGAAGAUUGAGCAUCAGAUGCAAGUUGAUGAUGUACUUGCAACUAGAACAAGAAAAAAAAAAUAGGUCUCUGUGUUUGUGGUGGACAGUAAACUAACAACUAUGAAAAAGAAUCCUGAAUUCAAAAAUAUGGAAAAGAAAGAUAAAUAAAUAUAAAAGAUCUUAAAUUUAAAAAGGUUACGAACUUGAAACAAAAAAUGAAAAAAGAGGAUAAAGGAAAAAAGAAACAAAAAAGAAAAUAAAAAAUCCCUUGUGGCUGUGACCACGCUGAGGCAACUCAAACGCAACAACUGGACCCCUCGCGUGAAUGAUGCGUACAAUACCGACGCCAAGCGAUGCGAACCAACCUUUGGUUGGAUGGUUAGAGAGACUGUGGUAUUCUCAACCCAUCAGGGUUCAAAUCCUGGUGCUCGCAUUUAUUUCUGGAUUUAUUUUAGGUUUUCCGGCGAUGCGCAUUCAGUGGGAGGAGACGUUCCCGUCUAUGACGAGGUGCCUACGGUGACUUCGUAAAUUUCAAGAUGAUAUGCCGGCUCAGUCUUUCAGAGGUGCUCAUAAGGGUAGGGUGUGCGUGUGUGCGUUUAUAGGGGUGAGUGUAUGCGCGUGUAUAUGAGCGCUUGUGUCUGUACUGAUGUUUAAGAAAAACGCCAAGCGACAAAAUAAACAAAAAAUAUUAAUCUUGAUGACUAUAUCAUACGGUUCAUCUAGAUGUGAAAUAGUAAAUUUGUAAUUUCCUAUGCUUGUAUAAAUGAAUAAAGGAUGUUUGAAGUGUCAAAAAGAAAAAAAACACGCCUUGUCUAGCAGAUGCUCCUAUGCAUCAUCUCGUUGUACUGCAGCAAGGAGAUCUGCCGCUGCAUCCUCAUCUGCAAGUAGAAGUUGGCGAUGAACUCCUCAGCCUUCACGUCCACCCCGGCGUCCUCGCCGUCCUCUUGUUCCGCGGCGCCGAAGUUCGCGCAGCUCGCUCCCAUCACCGCCCGCUGGAGCAGCUGCUCCUCCGCGCAAUCGUCGAGGUUCUCGACGCCGUACUCGCUCGGCCCGGCACCGUGGCCGUCCCCGACGCUGCCCGCGUCCUUCUCGCGCGGGUCACAGAAGAAGUAGCGGUCGCCACUGUAGUCGUCGGGGGUGUCCGGGACGGCGGGGGCGAUGCAGGGGAUGAAGCGGAGCACGCGCGCGGAGGGGGCGCGGAACCGGAACGCCGGCGUCUCGUCGAUGGAGAACUCGCGCUCACCGUAGCGCAGCCGGUCGCUGCGCCCGCUGCGCCCCAGGGUCUUGAGCAGGCGGAGGCCGUGCACCACGACUCCCUUCCGCGCCCGGAGCACCGCCAGCCGCAGCAGCCGCCACGCCCGCCCUCGGAUCGACGCCCUCCUCAUCGCCUUAGGCGUCGUCGUCGCCAUUGUAGUGCUGUCCACCAGAAUAGCAGCCGCCUCUGUUGCUUGCUGCAAUGCUGCUCUGCUGUUUCGCCUCUACUAUGCAAAGUUAGUGAUGAGAUGAGCGGGGCAGGGAGUGCGGCAUAAAUAGGGAGCUGGCAGCUGGCUUUGCUUGUGCUGUGUGUCGUGUGGCGGGAGCCGGAGCGCGAUGGGAGAGAAGCGAAGCGAGCGCGUUUGUUUGGCUGCUCGCUUCGGGGUUGGCACAGAGCUGGAGGCUAGAGCGGCGGGGUGACUAGAGUCGUGUCGUGUGGACGGCGUCCGCCAGGGAAGGGUGGACGCAUAGUGCGCGCCGGAUCGACCAGACGGACGGCGGGAAAGAAGCGAUGCGUUUCUGGACAUGCAGACGUUUCGUGGGUUCAGUUUCCAGCUCCUCGUUUUCCGAACACGGUUUUGUUUUGCCUGCAGAGGCGUCGACCGGUAGGGUACUACUGCUACGAGUUUCUCUGCCGAGUACCGACAGGCAACUGUGAAGAGCGAAGACUGGGACCUGCUGGAUUUACGUGCUUCUUUUGGCGGGGGAUUUAGGGCAUGUACAAUGGUUGAUAAGAUAAUCUUAUCUUAAGUCUUGCAUGUAAUCUAGAGAUGACAAAAAACAGAGUCUACAAUGGGUCAUCUCUUAGCCUUAUCUUCAAUAACUAGCAAUUCCUAAAAACGUGUUGAGACAUAUUGUGCUAAGAGAUCAUCUCUUGUCUUCUCUUAAAUAAGAUAAGACAAGCCUUUUCUUAUAAGUUCUUUCUCCUCCACCUCAUCAUUUAUCCUACGUGGCACUCCUAAGAUAGAACCAUUGUACAUGCCCUUACGUGCUUUCCAUGGUGCUUCGUGCUACGUUUUGUUGCAUACAUGGCCUCAACUGUAGUUUUCUUGGCGCAGACAAAGCUUUGCCGUGGGUUUUGCUCCCAGUCCCGUCUCAGUUUUAGUAGUGAGAUAGUGUCAAAAGGUCGAUUUGUAGUCAGGAACAUGUAAAAAAAUAAAGUUAGUAUCUUAGGGCAUCUCCAACCUGACACUCAGAUCCAACACCGUAUCCGUUCGCGGACCGGUGUGCAAAGUUUAAUAAAGUAAACAAAUUUUAUUAAACAAGACCGAUUUCAACUUAGUUCAGACAUAAUUCACAUAAAACAAACGAUAUUUUAACCGUUUGACUAAAAACUAGAAAAAGCUAGCAUGCUAACUUGUAGCGGAAGACAACCUCGUACCCAUGGCCGCCCUGGCCGGCUGCACCACCGUCGCCGUCAUCCUUCCAGCGGCGGAAUGGCGCUGGGCCACGACAGCCUUGCCCGGUCGCCGCUUGGCACUCCCGGAGGAGCCGUUUCGCUUCCUCCUGCGCAGUGUGGAGGCCCGUCGCGGCCAAUGCUGCCCCGGCAGAUGAAGCCAUGUACCUAGAGUAGGGUCAUGGACCUGUCAAGAUACCCUCCUCAAGGACAUCUCUAGAAGAAGCUACCUUUCAGUCGACCUGGAAGGAUUCCACUCGACGAACUCGAAGACACUCGACCAUGAAGCCAUUCACUCGACCACCAGGAGAUCUAGAGUCACUCUGCACCCAAACGGUCGGUCAUUAAGUAGUCUUUAUGAUCAUCAUAGCACUUUAUGUAUGGCGUUACCAGUAACGCCAGGUCUUAAUGUACCUUAAACCCUGCAUAACUGAGGGCCGGAGGGGUCUGGCGGACUCUAUAUAAGCCACCCCCUCCUCAGUGUAAAGGGUUCACACCCCUGUAACUCAUACGCACAUAAUCCAGUCGACCGCCUCCGGGCUCCGAGACGUAGGGCUAUUACUUCCUCCGAGAAGGGCCUGAACUCGUAAACAUCUUGCGUAUACAACUACUCCAUAGCUAGGAUCUUGCCUCUCCAUUCCUACCCCCCUAUUCUACUGUCAGACUUAGAACCACGACAGUUGGCGCCCACCGUGGGGCAGGUGUCUUAGCGACCUAUUGGAGAAGUUGCGAUUGUUCCGAUCUCCUUCGUCAUGGUUUCAGGCGGAGUUUUGGUUGAGGGCCGCGAGAUCCGUCUCGGCGCGCUCACGUUCAUUGCCGACGACUCCGCUUGGCUUCAAGAGGCUCCACUCAACAUCGACGCGCUCCCCGUCCGCGGGGCGACGCACUUCCGUGUGUGCGUCCGCGGCGUCCUCCUGCGGCAACCGUCAACCCCAUAUCCGUCUACUCAUGUGUCAUCCUCCUCCCUGUCUCCUGCUGGCGCAAGCGCUCCGGUCGGUCAAGGCUUCAGCGGUGGGUGAGGCACGCGGUAGCUUGCCAGUCGGCCACUCCCCAAGUCGCGGCGAUCGAGCCCGACGAAUCUCUCUACGGCUUGUUCGACCGGCUCCGUAGAGACUGCAUCCGAGUGCGACAGCAGUGAUCCGGCGGCGGAGGUUCUGAUGGUCAAUGGACCACGCAGUCCUCCCGGUUUUCCCCGCACCGACGGAGUCGACGGCAGAGGCGAUCCGGCGCACGCCCACGAAGAAUAUCAGCCCGAGCCCCUCACGUCGCUACAAAGGGAAGAUCUUCGCCGCCGGAACAUGGAUGCGAUGCAUACUCCUAUCGUUGGAGAAACCCCCGAGGCUCGUGCCUUAGAGGACGCGCUUUGGCCAACUUGGCUGAGCGCACUCGACUGGAGAACCUCCAGCGAGCACUCGACGAGCGUGCACGGCAACGGGUCCCAGACUCCAGUUGACGACAACUCUUUCCACCACCGACUCAGGUAUAUCGAACUCCGAUUCAGAAUUUAGCAGCUGCAGCCCGUAUAGCAGAGUCGAUUCAGCCCUCUCAGUCAGAGGCUGGCAGAGGCUUGAUGCAGAUCAGAGAUUUACUCCGGGCAGCAGGAGAUCAAAAUUCAGCUGUAUCGUAGUCGCGAAACAAGAUUCACAGCAGAUCCGUCGCUGCGAAUUCAGUCCAGUCCGCCCAUAGCCCAAGAUCGCCCCCGAGGCGUGAGGGACGUGGAGGCCGGCGUGAUCAGUAUGACGACCGAUUCGAUCGCGAUGAUCGACGUAGAGUGCCCACUCCUCCCCCAAGGGGUGGGUCAUACGCUCCUCGACAGCAAGAUGACAGACGCCAGCACAGUGUUGGGCGAAGGGUUCCAGUCGACCCCGGAGAACCAGGCUUUGGUGCGAGAUCCAUUAUCGUUCAAGGUUUGGUCGACCGGAACAGAGCUCACCGAGAAGGCCAUGACAGAGAUGUGCCCACCAGCAGCAGAGUUCAUGUCUCAGGACCAGAGUGUUUUAGCAGAGCCAUCAGGGUCGCGGUGAUUCCUCCCAACUUCAGGUUGGCGACUGGAGUCAGUAAGUUUGGUGAGUCCAAGCCCGAUACUUGGCUUGAGGACUACCAAGUGGCUGUUCAGAUUGGCGGCAGCAAUGAUGAGGUGGCCAUGAAACACCUACCUCUUAUGUUGGAGGGCUCGGCCAGAGCAUGGCUGAAUCAGUUGGCACCUAGCAUCAUUUACACUUGGGAAGAUCUUGCCCGAGUGUUUGUCAGAACAUUUGAAGGAACUUGCAAACGACCAGCAGGGUUGACAGAGCUGCAGGUUUGUGUGCAGAAGUCAAAUGAGACUAUGAGGGAUUACAUCCAGAGGUGGAUCACAUUGCAUCACACGGUGGAGAAUGUAUCUGACCACCAGGCAGUCUGUGCCUUCAAGGAAGGCGUUAAGAACAGAGAGCUAAGUUUGAAAUUCGGUCGGACCGGAGACAUGACCCUGAGUCGAAUGAUGGAGAUUGCCACCAAGCAUGCGAAUGGUAAAGAAGAGGAUCAGCUUCGGAGUGGCAAGUACAAGCCAACCGCUCAUGAAACCGGGGGAGGUAACUCCAGUUGGAAGCAGAAGCGGAAAGCCGAGCCGGCUGCUCCGGGUGAAGCCUUGGCCGUGACUCAAGGAAAGUUCAAAGAGAAACCCAAAGGGUCUUGGAACCCUAAGAAGGUGAAGGACAAGGAAGGAAAUGACGUGAUGGAUUUGCCGUGCCAAAUCCACACGAAGAAAGAUGAGGAUGGUAAAUUCAUUUACCCGAAACAUACCACUUGACAGUGUCAACUCUUGAUCCAGCAAUUUUAGGGGAAACAACCCAAAGAUAAGGAAAAGGAGUCGGAAAAAGUUAAAGACAAAGAAGAAAGUGAUGAUGGAUAUCCCCAGGUCAAUUCCACCUUGAUGAUUUUUGCUGAUGUUAAAAGCAAAAGUCGAUUGAAAGUUAUCAACCGUGAAGUGAAUAUGGUUGCUCCGGCAACUCCCAGUUACCUGAAAUGGUCUCAGACUGCCAUCACAUUCGACCAGUCCGAUCAUCCAACACACAUUACCACCCCUGGGAGGCAAGCUUUGGUGGUCGACCCAGUCAUCGAAGGCACUCGACUGACCAAAGUCUUGAUGGAUGGUGGCAGUGGCCUGAACAUAUUGUAUGCGGAGACGCUAAAAGGGAUGGGCAUUCCGAUGUCCAGACUCAGUACCAGCAACAUGAGUUUCCAUGGAGUCAUUCCUGGGAAGAAGGCUGAGUCACUCGGCCAAAUUGCUCUUGAUGUGGUUUUCGGUGAUUCAAAGCAUUACCGCAAAGAAAAGUUGACGUUUGAAGUCGUGGAUUUCCAGAGUGCUUAUCACGCUAUUUUAGGCAGGCCAGCUUAUGCACGCUUCAUGUCUCGACCAUGUUAUGUGUACCUCAAAUUGAAGAUGCCUGGUCCCAAGGGUGUGAUCACCAUUACUGGCAAUCAGAAAAAGGCAGAAGAGUGCUUUCAGAAGGGCUCAAAGAUCGCUGAUGCUCAGAUGGCAGUGGUAGAGCUACAAAUACCAGAAAACUACAGAUCCGAGUGAUUUGUUGUGAGCUAAGAAGCCCGCUACAGAGUCAGUGUUCCAGUCGUCCGGUGAGACAAAGCCCGUUCACAUUCACCCGACCGACCCCAGUGCUGCUCUGACUCAUAUCUCCACAACACUCGACUCUAAAUAGGAAGAAGCGCUCAUCCAGUUCCUCCGUGAGAACUGGGACAUCUUCGCAUGGAAGCCUGCUGACAUGCCGGGUGUUCCCAGGGGGCUGGCUGAGCAUCGUCUACGAGUCGACUCAAAAAUGAAACCUGUCAAGGUACAUCUUUGACGGUCCGCCGUCCAGAAGAGAAAGGCCAUUGGCGAAGAGGUGGCUCGGCUCCUAGCAGCAGAGUUUAUCCGAGAGAUUUACCACUCCGAGUGGCUCGCUAAUGUUGUCAUGGUCCCCAAGAAGGACAAGUCACUUCGCAUGUGCAUUGACUUUAAACAUAUCAAUCGGGCCUGCCCGAAAGAUCAUUUUCCUCUCCCCCGCAUCGACCAAAUAGUCGACUCGACCGCGGGAUGUGAGCGCCUGUCUUUUUUAGACGCCUAUUCCAGUUACCAUCAGAUCCGUCUGUAUGGACCCGACAAGAUUAAAACAGCUUUCAUCACUCCAUUCGGGUGCUUCUGCUAUGUCACCAUGCCAUUCGGCCUUACAAAUGCCGGAGCCACGUUCAUGAGGAUGAUUCAGAAGUGUUUGCUCACUCAAAUCAGUCGGAAUGUGGAAGCAUACAUGGAUGAUAUUGUGGUCAAAUCGCGGAAGGGUUCCGACCUGUUGACUGACUUCGCUGAAACAUUUGCCAAUCUCAGGAGGUAUGAUAUCAAGAUUAAUCCAUCAAAGUGCACAUUCGGAGUUCCUGGCGAAAAGUUACUCGGUUUUCUUGUUUCCGAACGAGGAAUCGACGCCAACCCAAAAAAAGUUGGUACUAUACUCCGAAUGAAACGCCCUGUGUGUGUGCAUGAUGUCCAGAAGCUUACUGGAUGCUUGGCCGCUUUAAGUCGAUUCAUCUCUCAUCUCAGUGAAAAGGCAUUGCCUCUUUACCGACUGAUGAAUAAGUCAGACAAGUUCGAGUGGACUCCAGAAGCUGAUGCAGCGUUUGCAGAGCUAAAAGCUGUGCUCUCCACCCAGCCGGUGCUUGCUGCCCCAGUCAGCAAAGAGCCUUUGUUGCUUUACAUUGCAGCCACAGGACAAGUCGUCAGUAUAAUACUUACGGUCGAGCGGGAAGAAGAAGGAAAAGUCUUCAAAGUUCAGCGCCCAGUAUAUUAUCUUUCCGAAGUGUUGACCCCAUCGAAGCAAAGAUACCCUCAUUAUCAGAAGCUUGUAUAUGGGAUUUAUAUGACCACAAAGAAGGUUGCUCAUUAUUUCUCUGAUCAUUCCAUUACAGUCGUCAGCGACGCCCCAUUAUCAGAGAUUCUGCACAACAGAGAUGCGACUGGUCGAGUGGCAAAAUGGGCGAUUGAACUCCUUCCCCUUGAUAUCAAGUUUGAGGCAAAGAAAGCCAUUAAGUCCCAAGCAGUAGCUGAUUUCAUCGCCGAGUGGAUUGAACAACAACUGCCGACUCAGAUUCACUCGAAGCACUGGACCAUGUUCUUUGAUGGUUCUAAGAUGCUGAAUGGUUCCGAUGCUGGGGUAGUGUUGGUUUCCCCCGAGGAGAUAAGCUCAGAUAUGUGCUCCAGAUCCACUUUGAUUCCUCCAACAAUGAAGCAGAAUACGAAGCACUUUUGUAUGGGUUGCGUAUGGCCAUUUCACUCGGCGUCCGUCGCCUCAUGGUCUAUGGCGACUCACAUUUGGUGUUUAAUCAGGUGAUGAAGGAGUGGGACGUCAGAAGUCCAGCCAUGACUGGUUACUGCAAUGCAGUGAGAAAGCUAGAGAAGAAAAUUGAGGGGUUAGAGCUUCAUCAUAUACCCCGACUGAAAAAUCAAGCGGCUGAAUUUGGCAAAGAUAGGUUCCAAGAGAGAAGUCAUUCCCAGUAAUGUGUUUUUGGAACACAUCCAUACCCCAUCAGUUCAAGAGGAUCCUUUCACCGAAGAAGCUCCACAGCCAAAAAGUGUCACAGAUCCGACUGAAGUUGAAGUUCUAGCUGUGGUCGACCUGAUCAUGGAAGUUUUGGUCAUCACUCCCGACUGGACAGAGCCGUACAUCGCGUAUAUCCUAAGGAAAGAGCUCCCGGAAAAUGAAGAAGAGGCUCGAUAGAUCGUCCGUCGAUCCAAAGCCUUUACCAUGAUAAAGGGAUAGUUGUACAGAGAAAGCGCGACUGGAGUCGGUCAGAAAUGUAUAACGCUAGAAGAAGGUCGGAUAAUCCUUGACGAUAUCCACUCGGGGACCUGUGGUCAUCAUGCGUCCUCUCGGACCAUUGUGGCUAAAGCAUACCGAGCGGGAUUUAUUGUCCAAGAGCAAAUGAAAUGGCAAAGGAGAUAGUAGACAAGUGUGAAGGAUGUCAGUUUUAUUCCAAUCUAUCGCACAAACCCGCCUCAGCCUUGAAGACCAUUCCACUCGUCUGGCCCUUCGCUGUUUGGGGGUUAGAUAUGGUUGGACCACCGAGAACUGGCAGGAGCGGCUUCACUCACUUGCUAGUAGCAGUCGACAAGUUUACCAAAUGGAUUGAAGCUAAGCCCAUCAAGAAUCUGGAUACUGGCACUGCUAUCAGCUUCAUCAGAGAGUUGGUGUUCAGAUAUGGAGUUCCGCACAGCAUCAUCACUGAUAAUGGGUCAAACUUCGAUUUUGAUGAAUUCAGAGCCUUUUGCGCAUCUCAAGGCACAUGAGUCGACUAUGCUUCAGUCGCUCACCCCCAGUCGAAUGGACAAGAAGAACGAGCAAAUGGUCUAAUUCUCAAAGGACUGAAACCCCGACUGAUGCGCAAUCUCAAACACGCAGCAGGCGCAUGGGUCGACGAACUUCCGUCAAUUCUUCGGGAUUAAGGACCACUCCUAAUCGGUCGACUAGGAGAACUCCGUUCUUCCUGGUCUAUGGAGCUGAAGCGGUCCUGCCGAGUGACCUGCUUCACAAUGCACCCCGAGUCGAACUCUACACUGAAGAUGAAGCAGAGCAAGCCUGGCAGGACGCAGUCGACCUUCUAGAAGAAGAAAGAGAGAUGGCCAUGAUCCGAUCGACUAUCUAGCUGCAGGACUUGCGUCGAUUCCAUGCCAGAAAUGUGAAGAGUCGACCUUCCAAGAAGGAGAUUUGGUUCUCCGAGUGGAUCAGCAGAAGCCACACAAGCUUGCUCCUACUUGGGAAGGUCCCUUCAUCAUCACCAAAGUCCUCCACAAUGGAGUGUACCGUCUUUACAAUGUCGAUCGCCAGAUUGACGAGCCAAGAACUUGGAACGCGGAGCUGCUCUGCCCCUUUUAUACUUAAGUAUUCACUCGGAUGAGAUGUAAUAAAAGUACUUCUGUAGUUUGUUUUUCAAAGACAAGAAUGUUAUAAUUUUCCCAGAGAUUGUUGUUACUUUUGUUUACGUAAAAAAUCCCCUAGUGGGUGGCUUAGUUGUGAAUCCGUUUCGCCUAAGUUUGUAAAAAAAAUCCCUGCCGAGUGGUGAGCCAGCCUCCCACUCGGGGGCUCAGCUGCGAAUCUGUUUCGCCUAAGUUUAAGGAAAAAUCCUACCGAGUGGUGAGCCAGCCUCCCACUCAGAGGCUUAGCUGCAGUCCAAGUACUCGCCUAAGUGUUUAAAAUCCUACCGAGUGGUGAGCCAGCCUACCACUCGGGGGCUUAGCUGCAGUCCAAGUACUCGCCUAAGUGUUUAAAAUCCUACCGAGUGGUGAGCCAGCCUCCCACUCGGGGGCUUAGCUGUAGUCCAAGUACUCGCCUAAGUGUUUAAAAUCCUACCGAGUGGUGAGCCAGCCUCCCACUCGGAGGCUUAGCUGCAGUCCAAGUACUCACCUAAGUGUUUAAAAUCCUACCGAGUGGUGAGCCAGCCUCCCACUCAGAGGCUUAGCUGCAGUCCAAGUACUCGCCUAAGUAUUUAAUACAAUGUGCGCUCUGCAAGGAGGACGAGGUGCAGGUCGACUGUUACCUUCUCCUUCCGAGCUACGCCACAAAUACAAUGUGCACUCUGCAAGGACGACGAGGUGCGGGUCGACUGCUACCUUCUCCUUCCGAGCUACACCACAAAUACAAUAUGCGCUCUGCAAGGAGGACGAGGUGCAGGUCGACUGUUACCUUCUCCUUCCGAGCUACGCCACAAAUACAAUGUGUGCUCUNNNNNNNNNNNNNNNNNNNNNNNNNNNNNNNNNNNNNNNNNNNNNNNNNNNNNNNNNNNNNNNNNNNNNNNNNNNNNNNNNNNNNNNNNNNNNNNNNNNNNNNNNNNNNNNNNNNNNNNNNNNNNNNNNNNNNNNNNNNNNNNNNNNNNNNNNNNNNNNNNNNNNNNNNNNNNNNNACUGCUACCUUCUCCUUCCGAGCUACGCCACAAAUACAAUGUGCGCUCUGCAAGGACGACGAGGUGCAGGUCGACUGCUACCUUCUCCUUCCGAGCUAUGCCACAAAUACAACGUGCGCUCUGCAAGGACGACGAGGUGCGGGUCGACUGUUACCUUCUCCUUCGGAGCUACACCACCAAAAAUCCUACCAAGUGGAGAGCAAACCUCCCACUCGGGGGCUUAGCUGCAGUCCAGUACUUGCCUAAGUAUCCGAAAAUCCUACCGAGUCGAGAGCAAACCUUCCACUCGGGGGCUUAGCUGCAGUCCAAUACUCGCCUAAGUAUCUGGGAAUCCUACCGAGUGGAGAGCAAACCUCUCACUCGGAGGCUUAGCUGUAGCCCAGUGCUCGCCUAAGUAUCUGAAAAUCCCACCGAGUAGAGAGCAAUCCUCUCACUCGGGGGCUUAGCUGCAGCCUAGUGCUCUCCUAAGUAUCUGAAAAUCCCACCGAGUAGAGAGCAAUCCUCCCACUCAGGGGCUUAGCUGCAGCCCAGUGCUCGCCUAAGUACUUAAUCUAUUCCGCUCUACAAGGAUGACGAGGCGUAGGUCGACUGCUACCUUCUCCCUUCGAGCUACGCCACAAAUACAAUGUGCACUCCAGCUGUGCUUCGUCCCUACCUGCAAAAAGCGGUGAAGUGCAGGUCAAGUAUAUUCCGAGCGAAGAAGAAAAUUCGCUCGAAGGCAAAUGCAAGCAUAUUCAACGAUAAGCAAAGUUCAGAUAACGGAUUCAAAAGUGCUCAGGCGUCAAGCCUGUAGAAGUUUAUCGGUUACAAAACCACUCGGCAUCCCGAGGCAAAUUUAAGGUGAAGCAUAGAAGUUUUUUACUCAAGUGGAGGACUGGAGGGCGCGACAAACUAGUCCAGGUCGAUUCCAUCAGCAAUCUGAGUGGCAGCAGCAAUGAAGGUCUCCAUGAAAGAUUGGAAGUCAUGCUUCUUGGUGUUGGCCACUGAGGGAGUCCUGGACUAGGGGGUGUCCGGAUAGCCGAACUAUCAUCAUCGGCCGGACUCCAAGACUAUGAAGAUACAAGAUUGAAGACUUCGUCCCGUGUCCGGAUGGGACUUUCCUUGGCAUGGAAGGCAAGCUUAGCGAUACGGAUAUGUAGAUCUCCUACCAUUGUAACCGACUCUGUGUAACCCUAGCCCUCUCCGGUGUCUAUAUAAACCGGAAGGUUUUAGUCCAUAGGACAGAACAACAAUCAUACCAUAGGCUAGCUUCUAGGGUUUAGCCUCCUUGAUCUCGUGGUAGAUCCACUCUUGUACUACCCAUAUCAUCAAUAUCAAUCAAGCAGGAGUAGGGUUUUACCUUCAUCGAGAGGGCCCGAACCUGGGUAAAAACAUUGUGUCCCUUGUCUCCUAUUACCAUCCGCCUAGACGCACAGUUCGGGACCCCCUACCCGAGAUCCGCCGGUUUUGACACCGACAUUGGUGCUUUCAUUGAGAGUUCCUCUAUGUCGUCACCGAUAGGCUUGAUGGCUCCUUCGAUCAUCAACAACAACGACGCUGUCUAGGGUGAGACUUUUCUCCCCGGACAGAUCUUCGUAUUUCGGCGGCUUUGCACUGCGGGCCAAUUCGCUUGGCCAUCUCGAGCAGAUCGAAAGCUACACCCCUGGCCAUCAGGUCAGAUUUGGAAGUCUGAACUUCACGGCUGACAUCCACGGAGACUUGAUCUUCGAUGGAUUCGAGCCACAGCCGAGCGCGCCGCACUGUCAUGAUGGGCAUGAUCUAGCUCUGCUGCCGGACAGUGCCCUGGAGGCCGCACAUGAGUCCGCUCCGACCCUUAAUUCGGAGCCGGCUGCGCAGAUCGAGGACGGGUGGCUAGACACCGCCUCAGGGGCUGCAACCUCUACGGUGAUGGAGCCGAAUACUGACCUUGUCCCUUGUGAAGCUCAUGACUCCGAGGUGCCGGACUCCGAACCUCCCGCGCCCCCUCCAAUCGAAUCCAAUUGGGCGCCGAUCAUGGAGUUCAUCGCUGCGGACAUCUUUCAACACUCACCUUUCGGCGACAUCCCGAAUUCGCUAAAGUACCUCUCGUUAUCAGGAGAGCCCUGGCCACACUACGGUCAAGACGGUUGGGAUGCGGACGACGAAGAAAUUCAAAGCCCACCCACCACCCACUUAGUAGCCACUGUCGAUGAUCUAACCGACAUGCUAGACUUCGACUCCGAAGACAUCGACGGUAUGGACGACGAUGCCGGAGACAACCAAGAACCAGCGCCUACUGGGCACUGGAAAGCCACCUCGUCAUAUGACAUAUACAUGGUGGAUAUCCCAAAGGAUGGGAAUGGCGAGGGAACAAGGGAGGAAGACCCCUCCAAGAAACAGCCCAAGCGCCGGCGUCAGCGGCGCCGCUCUAAAUCCCGCCACAGCAAGAAUGGAGAUUCCGACACCAGAGAUAAUAAUACCCCAGACAGUGCCAAAGACAACCCCCUCCAGCAAGAUCCAGCACAGGAGGACGGAGAAGCCAGCCCUCAUGAGAGAGCGGCAGACGAAGAGGUAGAGGAUGAUAAUUACAUGCCUCCCUCCGGAGACGAGGCAAGCCUCGACGACGACGAAUUCGUCGUGCCUGAGGAUCCCGUCGAACAAGAGCGUUUUAAACGCAGGCUUAUGGCCACGGCAAAUAGCCUCAAGAAAAAGCAGCAACAACUUAGAGCUGGUCAAGAUCUGCUAGCCGACAGAUGGACCGAAGUCCUUGCGGCCGAAGAGCAUGAACUCGAACGCCCCUCCAAAAGCUACCCCAAACACAAGCUGCUCCCCCGAUUAGAGGAGGAGGCAUAUAAACCUGCAUCACCAGUGCACAAUACGGCUAACCGACCACCCCGUGGCCGAGACAGAGAGGCCUCCAGGCCCUCCACCAGAACCGUACCCCGGCAUCGCUCGAAAAGCACAAAGCCACAUGGGAACGCUCUAGACUUGUGAGAUAUAUUGGAGGAUAAGGCAAGACAAUCAAGAUCGAUCUAUGGAUCACGUGGGCGCCCCAUGAUACGCGACGACAACCGUCGCGCCGGACACAGCAAGUCCGGCCGGGCCGAACACAAUAGACAAAGCUCGUUUGAGCUACGUCGUGAUAUAGCCCAAUACAGAGGCGCCGCACACCCACUAUGCUUCACAGAUAAAGUAAUGGAUCAUCAAAUCCCCGAAGGGUUUAAACCCGUGAAUAUUGAAUCCUAUGAUGGCACAACAGACCCCGCGGUUUGGAUUGAAGACUAUCUCCUCCAUAUCCACAUGGCCCGCGACGAUGAUCUUCACGCCAUCAAAUACCUCCCACUGAAGCUUAAAGGCCCAGCUCGGCAUUGGCUUAACAGCUUGCCAGCAUAAUCAAUUGGGUGCUGGGAGGACCUGGAAGCUGCAUUCCUUGAUAACUUCCAGGGCACAUACGUGCGACCACCACACGCCGAUGACCUAAGCCACAUAAUUCAGCAGCCAGACGAAUCGGUCAGACAAUUCUGGACACGAUUCUUAACAAAGAAAAAUCAAAUCGUCGACUGUCCGGAUGCAGAGGCUCUCGCAGCCUUCAAACAUAACAUCUCCGAUGAGUGGCUUGCCCGGCACCUAGGACAGGAAAAGCCGAAAUCCAUGGUAGCCCUCACAUCACUCAUGACCCGCUUCUGCACGGGAGAGGACAGCUGGCUAGCCCGCAGUAACAACCUCAGCAAAAAUUCUGGCAGUUCGGAUACUAAGGACAGCAAUGGCAGGUCGUGUCGCAACAAGAACAAACGCCGCGUUAACGGCGGUAAUACUGAGGAUAAGGCAGUCAAUGCCGGAUUCAGAGGCUCCAAACCCGGUCAGCGGAAAAAGCCAUUCAAAAAAACUACUCUGGGUCCGUCCAAUUUGGACUGAAUACUCGACCGCUCGUGCCAGAUACACGGCACCCCCGAAAAGCCAGCUAAUCACACCAACAGGGACUGUUGGGUAUUCAAGCAGGCACGCAAGCUAAUUGCCGGAAACAAUGACAAGGGGCUGCAUAGCGAUGACGAGGAAGAGACCCGACCGCCGAACAAUAGAGGACAGAAGGGUUUCCCCCCACAAGUGCGGACGGUGAACAUGAUAUACACAACCCACAUACCCAAGAGGGAGAGGAAGCGUGCACUCAGGGACGUAUACGCGAUGGAGCCAGUCGCCCCGAAGUUCAACCCAUGGUCCUCCUGCCCGAUCACCUUUGAUCGAAGGGACCACCCCACCAGCAUCCGCCAUGGCGGGUUCGCCGCAUUGGUUCUAGACCCAAUCGUCGACGGGUUUCACCUCACUAGAGUCCUGAUGGACGGCGGCAGCAGCCUGAACCUGCUUUACCAGGAUACAGUGCGCAAGAUGGGCAUAGACCCCUCAAGGAUUAAACCCACAAAGACGACCUUCAAAGGCGUCAUACCAGGUGUAGAAGCCAACUGUACAGGCUCAGUUACACUGGAGGUGGUCUUCGGAUCCCCAGAUAACUUCCGAAGCGAGGAGUUAAUCUUCGACAACGUUCCGUUCCGCAGUGACUAUCAUGCACUGCUUGGACGAACCGCAUUUGCAAAGUUCAAUGCGGUGCCGCAUUACACAUACCUCAAGCUCAAGAUGCCAGGCCCUCGAGGAGUCAUCACGGUCAACGGAAACACUGAACGCUCCCUCCGAACAGAGGAACACACAGCGGCUCUCGCGGCAGAAGUGCAAAGCAGCCUCUUAAGGAAAUUCUCGAGUCCGACCGUUAAACGACCGGACACGGCUAAACGCGCUCGGAGUAACCUACAACAAGACCACCUGGCAUGUUCUGAGCACGCGUAGCAAUGCGGCCCCAACCCCAGCCCUUGCAAAAUUGCAAGACCGGUCCUUCGCGUACAUCAUUAUGCUCUGGAGAUACCAUGGGCAUAGGGGGAGGGGCACGACCACAACAGGCCCAGAAUGCAGCUUAACCACACCAGGGGCUCCCAAGUGUGUCAUCUUUUUUUCCUUUUUAUUUUUUCUUACCCACAGGACUCCGUUCACCAGAGGCCCUGUCCGGCAGUAGACCUGCCGAACUCACGAUGCAACAGCCAGCGAAGGAGAAAGGCUACGACGAGUAUCCAGGUGGUCUCCAUUACGAGCAUUAAAUCUGUUUUAUACACCAUUCCGCAGCCUACCCCUGGAGGGGGACAUGCUUAAUAGUCCCACCCCUUGCUUAUCGCACUAUUUGUAUCGUUCUGCAUUCAUGGCAGUAUUUCUUAAAUAAACAAUGCAUCACUCUUUUGCUUAUAAUUGCAUUCCUUUCUUAUACAUAUGUUCAUUUAUGACAUGUUGCACCCGUACACUUUGGUACAGCUAAAUACACCAGGGGCUUAAGUUCCCCACAUUAUGGUGUGAUAAGUCCGAACACUUUCACAAGUGCGGCACCCCGAACUUAUAGCAUUAUAUGCAUCGGCUCCGAAUCAUGUCUUGGGUCAAGUUGGGUUUGCCCGGCUCCCAUGUUUUGGUACCUUACGUUCCGUUGUAUCGGCUAAGGUAGCACUGGGAGAACCACUGCGAUUGCGCCCCAGUUGAGCUGGGCGAGCGCCUCAGUGAAGAAAGCUAAAACUAACCGUCAUGAUGAGGCAAGAGCCGGUCGCUGUUCGAGAGGUUUUUUCGAGUCCCUAAAGACUUAUGACGCUUAGAGCGAAGAACCGGCUUUGUCCGGCCCAGGCAUGGAUAGCGCCCCGAAUUCGGCCUUCCAAACACUAGGGGCUUCGCCGAAAUUUAAAAUUAUAGAAUUCUAUGGCUAAGUGAGAGUGUUCAAGCAUUAUAAGUCCAGUUGCCUCGUUCGUUGUGUUGAGCGCCUCCCUAGAUGGACCCAAAAAUGGGAACAAGCGUGCUCAAAUUUAUCCCGAACACCCAAGUACUCGUGGCAUGGGGGCUGAAGCCGACGACUUGCCAUCUCUCAGAUUUGAUAAACGACCGCACAGAAGGUAAUAUUUUAAAUUAACAAGCGUUGCUUAGCGCACAUGAACAAAGUUUUCAGCGCACAGGAUAACAAAAUGCGAGUCUACUCAAAUAUUACAUCUUUGGAGCACUCACCCGCAAUCAUGCGGGCACCCUUCAGGACACCCUUAUAAUACAUCUCGGGUGUGCGAUACUCCUUGCCCGGCGGUGGCGCGUCCGUCACAAGCUUCUCAGCAUCCAUCCUGCCCUAGUGCACUUUAGCACGGGCAAGGGCCCGACGGGCACUGACGGUGUCCUGGACUAGGGGGUACUCACCACGUCGUCUCCCGAUCAGUUGGAUUGGGCCAAGGAUCCCCAUGGCCGUAUACUCAUGGGCCAGUCCGGACAGUUGCCGCAUACAAGGAAGAUUCCACAAGACUUGGCGAUCAAGAAAAGGACUCCUCCCCCACCGGCGUAUUCGGCUAGGAUUCUUGUUAUCCUAGGCCUCUGGUGCAUUAUAUAAACCGAGGCCAGGCUAGUCGAUAGAUAUACAACAACCAUUACAAUCAUACCAUAGGCUAGCUUCUAGGGUUUAUCCUCCUUGAUCUCGUGGUAGAUCCACUCUUGUAAACAUCCACAUUAUCAAUAUCAAUCAAGCAGGACGUAGGGUUUUACCUCCAUCAAGAGGGCCCGAACCUGGGUAAAACAUCGUGUCCCUUGUCUCCUGUUACCAUUGACCCUAAGACGCACAGUUCGGGACCCCCUACCUGAGAUCCGCCGGUUUUGACACCGAUAUUGGUGCUUUCAUUGAGAGUUCCGCUGUGUGAUCGACGAAAGGAUCAAUGGCUCGACUGCAGGUUAACUGCGACGUUGGCUUCUUCGUCACCAGCUCGACUGGUCACCUUGGCUUGACCGAGGACUGCGGCCUACCUCCGAUCAUCAUGUUCGGAUGAAGGCCUUCAUCAACACCAACUCCGAUCUCUAUCAAGAUCAUGGAGGAGUCAUCAAUGGAGCUCGGGGGCUCAACGUCAACAUUGCCCUCAGGCGACCGUGCUGUUUUCCUGGACAACAAACUUGUAUCCGCUGCCACCGCCUCCUCGAGUGUCGCUUAAACGAUUACUUCGGUGGAACUAUGCGGAAUUAAGUCUACAACAACCCUGCAAAAAUUUCGUCGAGUUCCGAUGGAGGAAUCUCCGGCAAUCGCCGAUAUACCGGAGCCCUGUUGAAUCUGGACGAGAAUCCGGACGAGUUUAGGGCGUGGUGUCCGGCAUCUAGCUCGGAUGUCCUUUGGAAGAUCCAACCAUUGAUUUGCUGCGGAAUUACCAUAUCUACCACCUUCCAAAAAUUCAGCUCGAUCCGACCGUCCAAACUCCGGGAAACUUCCGAUUAGUGCGUCACUUUUUGGAUCUACUUUCUGCGCGAGAACGAAUCCGACCCGAAUUCAUCUUCUUUAUGAACGGGAUCUCGGACAUCCUUUUUGAAGGAAGUUUUCGUAUGGGGUGUUGUGUUUUAUUCUCAAACACAUCCCAGUAGUAUUAAAAGUAUUCUUGCAAUACGAACUUCACCGUCACGCCGGUGUCAAACCAACCCGACAACAUCACUCCACGGCGGCCGACCUGCGUUAGACACGUCGUUGCUUUGUUGAGCUGAGCUCAAUUUCUUCGGAUCAUCAUCUCGGCAAGCCGAACGAGAGUCCGGCAUCGCGAAGGAUAAAUCAUCACCAACAUCGCCGCCCCGCGGAUUACACAGAGUAGGCAUACCGGCAUCGCCGCACGGUCGCUUCAUCAAGCCGGCAUCGACCACGUCACGACCUGCAUCGGUAGGGCCGCGCUAUUGCUUCUUCAAGCUGGUGUCCAUCACGCCGACCCACUUUGACAUCUCGGCUGGACCGGGGGCUUCGCCAUCUCUUCAUCAACCUACUUCGGACACUUCGGCGUCACUAGCCGACUAGGCAAUGGGUGCGCGGAUCGAGUCCCAAUUUUGGGAGUCACCUUCCUUCGGAUUGCUACAACAAAUAAACCAGGUGCUAUUAAUCCUAGUAUUUCUUUUUGCUUGUUUGGGUUAAUUUUUCCCAAGGAAUUAUUACUCUGGUUAGUCCAUCAUAUGUACACAGGUCUAUCAAAUACUGGCCGCAUUAUCGACGGUCGCAUGAUAGUUCGGUCAGUUUCCGUACAUAGUCCGGCGAACGCCGCAUCCGGAACUCGGACCGACCUGUGAAUCCAGGCUUUGCCACGCCUUUAUUGCAUUACGCCGACGACUUGCAUCGACAUCGACUUCGGCGCCAGGCCAUAUUUCUUUUAUUACUCACUUUGCAUAAAUUAUUUAUUAUGCAACGAUUUUUUUUAUUACUAUCAUCUAUGGUUUGCACUAUAUUUCGUGCAUAGGAAAAUGAUCCAGCCGGACUAUAUCCUUUGACGUCACCUCGGCUGGACGGGGGGGGGGCUUCGUCAACACUUCAUUACCCCAUGCCAGGGACCUCGACAUCACUCUGCCCCCCUGCAUUGCUAUGUCACCACUUCGGAGUGCCGAGCUCUUUGCUCCGCCACCUUGGGACUGGCUUGGGGGAUGGAACCUUGUCCCGCACCAAGCUCGGACCGCGUCGUCAAUACCGAACACAUUAACCAGCUAAGUUGCCUUCAUGCUCAAAGUUUUAAAAUUUUUAAUUUGUGUUCGGUUCAACCAAGCAUUAUACUUUCUCGGGAAAAAGUUGCUUAUCUUCCUUGUCGAAACUUUGUUCGCACACACUUGACGCGCUACCCGUGCUUAUUAUACCUGGGGGCUUCUUUAACAGAAGCUUAUUAAUUCGGGCUUUAUGCCCAACACACGUGUCACACUUCCGCAUGUACCUUUUAUUCACCAUUAUAUGCAUCGAUAUGACUUAAGUUUUGGCCAAGCUGGGUUGCCUGACUCCUGUGCUUACCCCUACGUUCCCGAUUGUUCGGCUAGGUGGUAAAGGGAGCACCUCUGCGAUUAUUACUGCCGGGUCAGCCGGAUGUGUACCUCAGACUGGGUGAAGCCGAAAGCUAGCGUUCUUAAGGGAAUACUCGGUUGGUGAACUAAAAGAUGAUUUCUUACCUAUUUAUUUACCUGCCCCCAGAUGUUUUUCUGCUCUUUUCGCAGUCCGGACAUGCACUUUAGGGCAUGCCUCCCAGGGAAAGGAACCCCUAACGGAACUAUUCUCCCUGGAAGAUGUUUCUUACUAACCAUGUAAUAUAACAUAACUAGUUGGGCACUUGUCUGAUAAAGCACUAAUGACCCCUACGCCUGGUCUCCACGCAUGCCCCGGUUUUUAUAACCGCGAGGGUAUUCGGACACACUCCGGACUAUUGGGUCCAGAGGUUGAAGCGAAAAGGUCCGCUACGACAAACGAUCUACAAUCCGGCUAGAAGGCAUUCUACAUGUCACCUUACAUUAUCAACUUUUACCCAAGUCAAUUGGGGGCUCUUAAAUUUAUAUGAGCCAUUUUAUGAUAAAUGUUUUUCUUCUUAGUCGCUGCAAAGUUUUUAUUAUUAUUUAUCACUCCUUCGACACAAGUGUGCGGUCACUAGCCGGGGAGCCUAAUUUCUCUAUCAAAGAAGCCGUAGGCUGACCUGCUUGAAGUUUUGAGAUAGGAUGUGUCAUGUUAAAGCACGACAGAAGCACCUUUUUUUUCUAAAGUCCAAUUUUCGGAUUGGCACCGAACACUUGAUCUAGUUCGGACAUUAACCUUUUGAAUAAGUUUUUUGGCUUUUCGAGUAUUUGUGUGUUUUUAGCACAAGUCUCGCAGUGCAACGCCGGACACCUUUAGAGAUUCGGCAAAAACAUUCUCGGAUAUUGCUAUAUAUGCAUCGGUUUCGAAUUGUGUCUUCGGUCAAUAGUUGGGUUGCCCGGCUCCUGCGCUUGCCUCCCAUGUUCCACUUUGUUCGGCUAGGUGUGCAAAGGGAGAACCACUGCGAUUGUGCUUCCAGCUCACAUGGUUAAGCACCUCAGUGGAGAAAGCCGAAAACUGACUGUCACAAUAUGCAUAAACUGGUCGGCGAUCUGAUGACGGCGUUAAACGACGGGCUAUUCAUAACAUUGGCCGAAGUGUUUCCGGCUUGACCUCGACUGUCGCUGAACACUACCGGGGGCUAUUAACUGGCCUCCCAAACUAAAUCCUCGAUAUUUUGCUCUUACAUUGGAGCUGAGGUUUCAUGAUCAUGCUUAGCAUGACAACCCAAAGAAAGGAACCGAUAGGGGGACUAUUUUCUUUGGAAGACAUUUCUUCUAUUAAACAGUAAUAUAACAUGUCUCUCCGCGUACCUUUGUUUAUAAAACCGUAUGGCCAGAUUGCCUUGUUUGUUGUAAAUCUUUGCCCUCAUAAAGGCUUUAUAAAGUAGGACAAACACUACUCGGCUAUUGGCCGAGGAGGUGGAAGCCGAUGGUCGGUCAACAAAGUUUUGUACAAUGCGGAUCCGAGCAUUAAUGACGUAAAGUACUUGGAUACAUAGAGUCAUUACACAUAAUUUGUGAUUUUACUAUGGAUAUCGAUCCUUAAUUCGGCCUCCCGUGCCCGCAUUAAGGCUCGGGGGCUACUGGGCUUCGGGCUUAUUAUUUACAAAUAUUAAAGGGGCACAUCAAUCCCCUGAUCUGGUGUUGCCACCCGACCAGUGUCUCGGGGGCUACUGCAUUGCCUGUUCUAUGCAGAAAAUUUUAAGUGCAAUACAGUUUCCGAGGAGAUUUUGAUCCUCAGGUUGGUCGGCCGCACCCAACCCGAGUCUCGAGGACUGAGCACGCUGCUUUUUGCGUCCCGAAGUAUUCUGCCGAGCUAGGACUUGAUCCUCAGACCGAUUUUGCAAAUCAACCUGAGUCUCAGCGACUACGGGGAUCAGCGGUCUUAUGUCAUCCUUCAUGUGCAUCUCGGGUUUUAGAACGAUACCCACCUUGAGGGCUACUGGCUAUAUAUCUCGUCAGAGAAUAAAUUGCAUCAAUAAAAAACAUUGACCAAAAAUCAGCCCAUGACCGAGGUGCUUAACCACCUCGGAAGCAGUCCGGCAUAAAGCUCGGGCGCUAGUGGCUGGCUCCAUAGAGGGCAUUUCCGGCAUUAAGCUCGGCUAAACUCCUUCAAACUUCUUUGAACCAAGGUGAUCUACGACACCUCGGAUACAGUCCGGCGUUGGAGCUCGGAUACAUAGUCCGGUGUUAGAGCUGGGAAGCAGUCCGGCAUUGGUGCUCGGCUGCAAAAGAUACCUCGAAUGCAGUCCGGCGUUGGAGCUCGGACGCAAGAGGAUGUUGCCGCCCGGGAACAACUUCAAACCCGAGGUGUGGCAUAAAAAUAACAAGGCAUUGAUAAAGGCCGGAAACUUAAAGGGCUCCUCGGAUACCCGACGUAUAAACUCGUCGAAUGCAUUUCGGCGAUCCUCAAGAUCGAAGAUGAGAAGAUUUGUUGAACCAGUUUUCAAGACCGAUGACCGAAGAUGAAGAACAGUUCGGAAGAAUCGAGGAGCGUCCCCAACUUGAAGACCGGUUCAGGGGGCUACUGACGGUGUCCUGGACUAGGGGGUACUCACCAUGUCGUCUCCCGAUCAGUUGGAUUGGGCCAAGGAUCCCCAUGGCCGUAUACAAAUGGGCCAGUCCGGACAGUUGCCGCAUACAAGGAAGAUUCCACAAGACUUGGCGAUCAAGAAAAGGACUCCUCCCCCACCGGCGUAUUCGGCUAGGACUCUUGUUAUCCUAGGCCUCUGGUGCAUUAUAUAAACCAAGGCCAGGCUAGUCGAUAGAUAUACAACAACCAUUACAAUCAUACCAUAGGCUAGCUUCUAGGGUUUAGCCUCCUUGAUCUCGUGGUAGAUCCACUCUUGUGAACAUCCACAUUAUCAAUAUCAAUCAAGCAGGAUGUAGGGUUUUACCUCCAUCAAGAGGGCCCGAACCUGGGUAAAACAUCGUGUCCCUUGUCUCCUGUUACCAUUGACCCUAAGAUGCACAGUUCGGGACCCCCUACCGGAGAUCCGCCGGUUUUGACACCGACAGGCACCUUCAAUGCAGGCGGAGUGCUUGACGACUUCAACCCAGGGACACGCAUCCACCAGCCGCCGCACCAGGCCGAAGUAGCUCCCAGGCAUGGCCUCUUUGGGCCAUAGCCGAACUAUAAGGCCCUUCAUGGCCUGUUCGGCCACCUUGUGGAGCUCGACCAGCUGCUUCAGCUGGUCGCUAAGGGGCACCGGAUGUCCGGCCUCAGCAUACUGAGACUAGAAUACCUUCUCCGUUGAGCUCCCCUCCUCGGCUCUGUAGAAAGCGGCAGCAUCGGACACGCUGCGGGGCAGAUCUGCGAACGCUCCUGGAGAGCUCCGAAUUCGGGUAAGUACCAGGUAAUUCACUUUAACAUGCUUGCUUUGCAUGAAGAAUGCCUUACCCGCCGCUAUUUUCUUCAAAUCCUUGAUUUCCUGGAGGGCCUUGUGGGCAUCGGCCUUAGCGACUUUGGCACUCUCAAGAGCCGACGCAAGCUCGGACUCUCGAGUCUUCGAGUCACGCACCAAACCCUCGUGCUUUUCCACGAGAGCCUGGAGCUCUUGCUGUACCUCCGCCACCCGCGCCUCCUGCUUCUCUCGCUCGGCUCGUUCCACGGCCGCAUUACGUUCGGCCGCGGACACCGCCUCCUUCAGGGUUGCCACCUCGUUCGUGGCCCCUGGAGUAUCCAUGUUAUCCUUGUUAUUUCUCUUGCAACCAAAUCCUUUUCUGUAAGGUACAACUUUAAUACGGUGUUACUCACCUUCCUUGUCCUCGAGCUGCUUCUUGGCACGGCCGAGCUCGCUCUCGGACCGCUCGAGGCUCUGCUUCAAGGUAUUGACCUCCGCAGUCAGUGUGGCAGAGGUCAGCAGCGCAGCCUGCAUUCCCAUAUGGACAUAUUUUUAAGACUCCUGCGUAUAUCUUUUUAGAUCCUCGGUCCGGCUUUUGUUUCCGAACACCGAACCGAGCAUCAGGGGCUACUGUAUAUGCGGUAUUAUAUUACAUAUCUUAAAAUUCUUACCUCAAAGCCUAUUAGAAGGCUGUUGCAGGCCUCGGUCAGCCCGUUCUUGGCGAGCUGAACCUUCUGAAUCACCGCACUCAUGACAGUGCAGUGUUCUUCUUCGAUGGAGGCGCCGUUGAGUGCCUCCAGCAAGUUAUCCGACGCCUCUGGUUGGACGGAGGCCGCCGGUGUCACAGUCUUGCCCUUCUUACGAAGGGGCCACCCACCGAACUCCAGAACCACUGCAGGUUCCAGUGCGGAGUCCGGUGCAAAGUCCGGGAGGUUGCCCUGCGGCACCUCCGGGGCCUCCUCCUGGUGGGUCCCUUCCCGGGAUCCCACCUCGGCAUCGUCAGCAUCACGGGGGUGGAGGCGGUCGGAAGAGAAUCCAUAUCUGACGUGCCCAAGGACCCGCUCGACGAAGCAGGAAGAUCGUCCAUGGGCGGACUACAGGGUUGUAUGCGGCAUUAGAAAGACACCAUGCGACAAAAAGAAAAAUUAUAAAUCAUCUAGGAGUCCGGAUACUUACGAUCUCGCCAGGGGCUUGGCCCUUGAGGGCCACUCCUUGUCGCCGUCGUCGUCGCCGACGUUGGUGAAACAGUCUGGGGGAAGGGUCCUUCCCUUCUUGGACCCUUCGGCCUCCCUCGUUGGGGAGGCCUUCCUCUUCUUCUCUCCCCCCGCUGGGGGAGAAGCCUCUUUCUUCUCCUCCUCGUCCUCGUGGGAGGAGUCCGCCUCGGAGUCAUCGGACGAUGAGUCCGAUACCACUCGACGUCGGGAACUCCUUCGGGUUCCCAUGGCCUUCUUCUUGGCCUUCUUCUCCGGCACUACGUAAAGUGCCGGGACCAGCAGCCCUGUCAAACGGGCAUCCGCUGGGUCUUCUGGAAGGGGAGCCGGACAGUUAACCUGUCCGGACGUCACCUGCCAAGCCUAUUAAAGGUAUUGGGAGUUUAGAUCCCGCAUAAAGUCAAAACAUGAAAAGCAAGUGUCCCAUAAAGGAUAACCUGGCUUACCUCGUCAGCCGGACGUUGUGAGCUGAAUCUGCGAUCUUCGGUAGCGGAUGCGGGGGUCUCGCUGCCCUUAAACAGCACCCUCCAGGCAUCUUCGUACAUAGUGUCGAAGAGCCCGCUCAAGGUCCGGUGCUGUGCCGGAUUGAACUCCCAUAAAUUGAAGUCCCGUUGCUGGCAUGGGAGAAUCCGGCGGAUGAGCAUGACCUGGAUUACGUUGACAAGCUUAAGCUUCUUGUUCACCAGGGUUUGGAGACAGGAUUGAAGUCCGGUCAGCUCUUCCGAACUACCCCAUAGCAGGCCCUUCUCUUUCCAGGAGGUGAGCCGCAUGGGGAUGCCAGAUCUGAAUUCGGGGGCCGCUGCCCAUUCAUGGUCACGCGGCUCGGUGAUGUAGAACCACCCCGAUUGCCACCCUUUGAUGGUUUCCACGAAGGCGCCCUCGAGCCAAAUGACGUUGGGCAUCUUGCCCACCAUGGCGCCUCCGCACUCCGCUUGGCUGCCCUUUACAAUCUUCGGCUUGACGUUGAAGGUCUUGAGCCACAAGCCGAAGUGGGGCUGGAUGCAGAGGAAGGCCUCGCACACGACGAUAAACGCCGAGAUAUUGAGGAUGAAAUUUGGGGCCAGAUCAUGGAAAUCCAGGCCGUAGUAGAACAUGAGCCCCCGGACAAAGGGGUGGAGUGGGAAGCCCAGUCCGCGGAGGAAAUGGGGAAGGAAUACCACCCUCUCAUGGGGCCCGGGGGUGGGGAUGAGCUGCCCCUCGUCGGGGAGCCGGUGCGCAAUGUCGCUGGACAGAUAUCCAGCGCUGCGCAGCUUCUUGAUGUGCCCCUCUGUAAUGGAGGAGGCCAUCCAUUUGCCUCCCGCUCCGGACAUGGCUGGAGAAGGUCGAGGUGAGAUGUGCGGACUUGGGCGCUGGAGCUCGAGUGCGCGGAGAUGGAUAAGCAAAGGAGGAAGAAGGCGUAGGUAAAAAGGUGGAUCCUUAUCCCCUUAUAUAUGGGCGGACGAAACUAUGCGUCCCCACCGGCCUGGUAAAACUCGCUUAUCUCCCAAGCGCCGCAAUCAAUGGCGCGGUUGGGUUACCCACGUCCGUAUUGAUGGGAAUCCCGGAAUAAGGGGAACACGAUCUCUGCUUCGACAAGACGUGCCAAGGAAACCGCUUCGCUAAAAGCGCUGAGGUGGUAUAAUAAAAACGAUUCGAGUAAAGACUUGGUUGUGGUGUGACGUCACGCCACAAAAUACAUCAGCAGAUUGAACUUGUGUAAAUAUUAUUCUCUCUAUGGUGGUAUGUGGAAUUUAUUUUGCAGAGCCGGACACUAUCCUGGUGUUCACAAUCUUCUAUGAAUUAUUCGGAGGAGGAACCCGCCUUGCAAUGCCGAAGACAAUAUGCGUGCCAGACUCGUCGUCAUUGAAGCCUGGUUCAGGGGCUAUUGAGGGAGUCCUGGACUAGGGGGUGUCCGGAUAGCCGAACUAUCAUCAUCGGCCGGACUCCAAGACUAUGAAGAUACAAGAUUGAAGACUUCGUCCCGUGUCCGGAUGGGACUUUCCUUGGCGUGGAAGGCAAGCUUGGCGAUACGGAUAUGUAGAUCUCCUACCAUUGUAACCGACUCUAUGUAACCCUAGCCCUCUCCGAUGUCUAUAUAAACUGAAAGGUUUUAGUCCAUAGGACAAAACAACAAUCAUACCAUAGGCUAGCUUCUAGGGUUUAGCCUCCUUGAUCUCGUGGUAGAUCCACUCUUGUACUACCCAUAUCAUCAAUAUCAAUCAAGCAGGAGUAGGGUUUUACCUCCAUCGAGAGGGCCCGAACCUGGGUAAAAACAUCGUGUCCCUUGUCUCCUGUUACCAUCCGCCUAGACGCACAGUUCGGGACCCCCUACCCGAGAUCCGCCGGUUUUGACACCGACAACCACCCUGAUGGAUGCCAGCUUGUUCUCUCGAGCAUCCUUGCAGUGAACACGUACCAGGGACAGAGAAACAUCAGCACCACACCUGGCGGAAGACUUCUUCCGUUCCUGCACUUGACCUGGAACGUCAUUCAGUCGACUCAUUAAAGACUCGAGGUCAUUUUGGAGCGUCUCUCUUGGCCAGAGUGUCGUGUCGAUCCGCGACACCGCAACCUUCAGUCGAGCGAGGUAGUCCACCACACCAGCAACGCGAGACUCCAGUCGGAACACGUUCAUAGCAGCUUCGUCCUUCACAAGAGAGUUAAUGGGGUCCAAGUUUGUCUCCAGUCGACUGGUCUCCUCCUCGAAGUUUUGACAGAAUUCUAUAAACACAAUUUGAAGUUAAGCCAACAGUUCUACGAUGAGUCAAUGAUAACGAGUCAGUCGGAUAAAAGAGAUCACCUUCAAGCAUGAGGAAUAACUUCUUGGCGAGCCCUUCCAGAUAAGCCUCCAGAUCGUUCUUCUUCCCCAUCAGUUCACUGGCUUUGUCACUCAGAGCUAUUUUGUCAUUCUUCAGACGGCUGACCUCCUUAUUGGCCGCGUCGAGAGCAGCUUUCAGAUUGGUAUUCUCCUCUUCAAGUUUGCCGACUGAAGCCAGCUUUUCUUUUGCGAGCUUCGUCUUAUCCGAAGCCGCUUUCUGCGCCUCAGCAAGAUCAAGGUCCUUCUUCUUCAGAGCCUCCUUCAGCUUAUCUGCAAAGUGACAAUGAGAUCAGAAUCAGGAAUGGACAAAAAAGUAAAGGCAGUCGUCAAGAUUCUCACCAAACAUACCUUUUGCUUCCUCCUUCGCCUUCGUGAAGUUCUCCUGAACGAGCUUCAAGUCAAGUUCGAGCUGGAUAUGUUUGUUCUCCAACUCAGUAUAGCGAGCCACAAGCUCACAAGAUUUCUGUGAAAGGUCAGUCGACAGACAUCAAAGAUAGGUCAUUUCCGAGUGACUAAAAGAAAAUCUGUAGCAUUUCUAAGACUACAGCCGAAUCAAAAUAUUCAACAGUAGUCUCGGGGACUACACCCAGUGGAUGCACUAAGCGUGCCCCCACUGGUUCUACUGACUCGGUUCGAUCAGUCGACCGAAAGAGACAAGAAGGUUAUGAUCCUAAACCAUAGCUCACUGCCAGCAGUCAGCCACAAUAUCAUCACAAAAAAAAGAAGGGAGAUGUUCUUUAGACCUUAGUCGACUGCCAGCAGUCGACCAUGGUCUCGGGGACUACACCUAGUGGGUGCACUCAGCGUGCCCCCACUGGUUCCAAGAUUCCAUUCGACCAGACCGAGUGGAGAAGUUAGAGUAAACAAAUUCAAAGUAUAAAGACUACAGUCGACUGCCAGCAGUCCACCCUAGUCUCUGGGACUACACCCAGUGGGUGCACUCAGCGUGCCCCCACCAAUUCAAUCGACACACCCAGUGGGUGUACAGAUGCAAAGGUCUUCAGAAAGAAGAGUUUUCAGGUACCAUAUCCUAACAGAACAAGCGGUGACCAACUAAUCUGGACGUUGCUCUGAAGAGAUGAACUUGCAUCAUAAGCUGCUUGGCUGGCAUUCCGGAUGGCCUUCACCUGCUCCAUCAUGACCCCCGCCUGGCGUAUAGCCUCCUUGGCAGCACCCGCUUGGUCCUCUGGGACGUGGUGUGUGGCGAAAAGGGAAGGUGGAUCACCACUCGACGACGAAGGGCGAGCACUCGUCAGCAGCACAGCAAAGGACACGGUAGUCCGAGUGACGUUGCCUCCCUCCGGAACCAGCGUCUCAGGUGCUGAUACAACCUGAGCAGUCUUGCCAGCAGGCACCUUUUUGUUCCUCCUCUGCCUCAGUGGCUCCUCAUCAUCAUCAUCAGGGAGAUCAAUGACAUGAGGUGGGGCUACAGGAAAGAUUCAAAGUUAAAAAUGAAGAUCCAAUCAACCUAAAGCGAAACUACAGAGACCAUACCAAGGUUGGAGGUGGCAACAUCUUCCAUUUCUUGGUCCUCGUUCGUGGCUGAGGUCUCGGAGGUAGCAGCACUGCAGAUUCCAGAAAUCAGUCGGUUAGCCAACGAUUCGACCAAGAGUUUAUUCGUGCCAAACAAGAAAACACAAGUUCUGCUAUUACCCGGAAAUGGUGGGAAUCACCAUCCUCAUCUUGGGCAGGGCCUUCAUCGGCUUUGAUGACGUUGCUCGGGGUUGCUUCGGCGCCUUUUCAGUCGGCGCCGAAGAGGUCGUCUGUAACGCCCCAGAUACAACUUUCCAUAUUCGUAACUUCAACUCUUGCCUUUUUCGGAGAUGUGAUAUGUUAUUUCCUUCGUGGUUGGGUUAUUGUCGUUUGUUUUGCCUUUUGUUAAUGCCAUGCAUCUCAUCUCAUAGCAUCAUGUGCAUCGCAUCCAUAUGUUUUUAUAAAAUCCGUAUCCGCUCGUAGUUGCCGCGUCACCCCUUGCUUUCGUUGACCAUUCCGAGACCACCCGUGUUUGCGUUUCCCUCUUGUCAAACCACCUAACCUCUCUGCACAACCACCAACCCCUUUGCGCGCGUCCGAAACUGCCCCAAACCCGAACCCGGUCGGUCGUGACCGAUGAGUCCGGAUCAUCCCCAAACAUCUAUAAAAUAUCUCCCGUCCUUUGUUUGCACUUCCUAACCUAUUUUCCCGGAGCCGUUCGAUCGCGAUCGGAUGACCCAAAAACUCCCUUUUUCCUAUAUAUAUAUAAACUCUAGUCUAUUUUAAGACCAAACCCUAAAUCCGAGGAGCCGUCCCAUCCAUCCCAUUCCUUCCACCGCCACCUGACCAACUCACUUCUCUCUCUGGUUCCCCUCGGGGUCCUCCCAAAUCCAUCCCCUCCUUGAUUUCAUAUGCCAGCCAAUCCCUCGAGCCGGCCGCAAGCAGCGCCGCCAGCAGGACCUCGCGCCCCUGCCUUCUCCCUUUUUCUUAUUUCCUCCGUCUCCCUCGUUGCUCUCUGUCUCACCCGAUUCUCUCUCUCUGUUCUCUGUAACAGCGCCGUCGCCGGAGAAGUUCCUCGUCCGCGUCUAGGAGAACGACGCCCGAGGCCGAACGGAUCCGCGCCCAGCCUUCGUUCCCCGCAGUUCCUCAUGCUGCCUUCCGAACCUCGACGAACCCCGUCGGCUGGCGAACCAGCAACGAGCGCGUCGCCCCUCCCGGUCGACCUCGCGCCCUGCCAUCUCCUUCUUCCUCUCGUGCUCUCUCCCCCUUCAUCUAGUUUCUCUCUCUUACCUUCUCCCUCUACAGGACCUCCAAGGUGCCAUGGACGACCUCCCCGCCACCCGUCGUCUUUGUUCGCGGCAAGCACCGCUGCUGCCUCGCUCGCCCGCGCGAAGGUCUCGCCUCUGCCCAAAUCCUACCUGGCGCCGCCGCCUUCACUUGCCUCGCCGUCGCCAAGUCCCUCCUGCCGUCGCCCGGAUCCAGUGCCCCUUCGCCCAUCCUCGCCGGAUUAAGCUGCGUCGCUGCUCUGCUUCUGCUCCCUGUCGAGUAGAGGACCGCGCCCUGCUUCCCUGCAUCAAGCGUUGACCGCAGCAUCGAUCCAAGCCGGCCUCGUCCCGAUCUCCUAGCCCAUCAGCAGCAAGGCCCCACCAGGCUUUCCCAGUCGGCCUGCUGCCUCCAAGGCCCAGCGCUGGCCUGCCCGGCCUCCCUCUGCUUCCAAUCGGGCCUCAGCCCAUGGGUGAGCAGCCCCCAACAGCUCUUCUCUUGUGCAUGCUUGGCCCAGCAAGUUUCGGCCUGAUGUGUGUGUUUUUACUGCUGCGAAUUUAACAUUAUCGAGUGUAUUACAGUUUUGCAGAAAACUCCUCCAUGUUCAUGCAUAUAAUAACUCAUUAACCAUGCAUCGGAUUAAAACAAAUUAUAUAUGUAUAAUGCUUAGAAUUUUGUGUAGAUUAAUAAUUUGCCACUUUCAUCCAUGUUUAAAAUGUUUAAAAUGUUGUUUGUUUAAAUUUGCUCAAAUGUAAUGUUAAAAUGAUUUAUUUCAUAACUAAAUAACCGUAGCUCGGUUUUAAAUAAACUUUAUAUGUAAAUGGGGUGGAAAAAUGCCUAGUUUAACAUGGUGCACUUUAUUUUCCUGUUUAACAACAAUAAAGUAUGUUUUACGGCAGAACAGUACCAAAACUAAAAUAUGGACACGAGGAUUUUCCGGAAUUGUUGUUUGUUGUUUCCGGCCUCACUUAAACUUGCCUAGAUAGUUAGUUUAUUUAUGCUUCACCUCUUGCCAUGUUUAUAACAACAUGUAAUAUUGUUGUGUUCAUAAACGAGAGAGAACUAAAUAAUUGAUGUGGUGUUUCGUCAAUAUGUAACUCGUUGCAUAUUGAGCUCCACUUAACUUGUAGUGUUGUUUGUGCACUUUGCCAUGCCAUGCCUCUUUAAACCGGACAUGCAUCAUACUUGAUUGUGCAUCAUGCCAUGUUUAUGUGUGGUGUGUUUACCAUGUUGUGUGCUUCUUCUCGAUAGUUCCCGUUUCGUUGCGGUCGUGAGGAUUCGUUCGUCUACGCUUGGUUCGGCUUCACCCGUUCGUCUUCUUCAUGGACUCGUUCUUCUUCCUAGCGGGAUUUCAGGCAAGAUGACCGCUACCCUGGAUCUCACUACUAUCAUUGCUAUGCUAGUUGCUUCGUUCUAUCGCUUUGCUGCGCUUCCUAUUUUUUGCUCUUCAAGCCUCCCAAAUUGCCAUGUCAGCCCCUAACCUUUUCACCCUUCCUAGCAAACCGUUGCUUGGUUAUGUUACCGCUUUUGCUCAUCCCCUCUUAUAGCGUUGUUAGUUGCAGGUGAAGUUGAAGAUUGCUCCAUGAUGGACAAGAUUGUGUUGGGAUAUCACAACAGCUCUUAUUUAAUUAAUGCAUCUAUAUACUUGGUAAAGGGUGGAAGGCUUGGCCUUAUGCCUGGUGUUUUGUUCCACUCUUGCUGCCCUAGUUUCCGUCAUACCGGUGUUAUGUUCCCGGAUUUUGCGUUCCUCACGCGGUCGGGUGAUUUAUGGGACCCCCUUGACAGUUCGCUUUGAAUAAAACUCCUCCAGCAAGGCCCAACCUUGGUUUUACCAUUUGCCUCACCACCACCUACUUUUCCCUUGGGAGUCGCUCUCUCAAGGGUCAUCUUUAUUUUAGCCCCCCCGGGCCAAUGCUUGUCUAAGUGUUGGUCCAAACUAGAGCACCGUGCGGGACCAUCCCUUGGCAACUUGGGUUACGUCGUACCUGUACGCUUCGCUUAUUCGCUGUUGCCCUGAGAUCGAGAUAUGUGCAGCUCCUAUCGGGAUUGUCGGCGCAUCGGGCGGUCUUGCUGGUCUUGUUUUACCAUUGUCGAAAUGUCUUGUAAACCGGGAUUCCGAGACUGAUCGGGUCUUCCUGGGAGAAGGAAUAUCCUUCAUUGAUCGCGAGAACUUAUCAUGGGCUAAGUUGGGACACCUCUGCAGGGUAUAAACUUUCGAAAGCCGUGCCCGCGGUUAUGUGGCAGAUGGGAAUUUGUUAAUGUCCGGUUGUAGAUAACUUGACACCAGAUCCGAAUUAAAACGCAUCAACCGUGUGUGUAGCCGUGAUGGUCUCUUCUCGGCGGAGUCCGGGAAGUGAACACGGUCUUUGGGUUAUGUUUGACGUAAGUAGGAGUUCAGGAUCACCUCUUGAUCAUUGCUAGCUUCACGACCGUUCCUUUGCUUCUCUUCUCGCUCUUAUUUGCGUAUGUUAGCCACCAUAUCUUGCUUAGUCGCUGCUGCAACCUCACCACUUUACCCCUUCCUUACCCCAUUAAGCUUUGCUAGUCUUGAUACCCAUGGUAAUGGGAUUGCUGAGUCCUCGUGGCUCACAGAUUACUACAACAACAGUUGUAGAUACAGGUUAUGCGAUGAUCUUGACGCGAGAGCGAUGUUUGCUUGUUUUGGAGUUCUGCUUCUGCUUCUUCUUCGAUCAGGGGAUAGGUUCCAGGUCGGCAGCCUGGGCUAGCAGGGUGGAUGUCGUUUGAGCUUCUGUUUGUGUUUCAUCCGUAGUCGGAUGUUGAUCUCAUGUAUGAUGUAUUGUUGUAUUCGUGUGGCAUUGUAUGCCUCUUGUAUGUAUCCCCAUCUAUUAUGUAAUGUUGAUGUAAUGAUAUCCACCUUGCAAAAGUGUUUCAAUAUGCGGUUCUAUCCUUGGUGGGACCUUCGAGUCUCUUUAGGAUAGUAUCGCAUAUUGGGCAUGACAUCGUCCGAGGGCAUUUCGUCGACUGCCCAACAGGCACAGUUGCUUUGCCACGCUCGACUGCAGGAUCAUGGGCGAGCUUGGAUCGCCUUUCAGUGCGAGGAGGGUCGACUUCCUCCUCCUCUUCCUCCUCCUCCUCCUCUUCGCCGGAGCCGUCGUCAUCUUCAUCCCCCUCACCAUCAGAUUCCCAGUCCUCCUGACUUUCACCUCCGCUCCCCUCCUCCUCCUCGAUCUGUUAUUGUGCCCCGUUGGGCAUCGAGUACAUCUCGGUAGUGACCUGGAAGACAACAAACAAGACAAAAGUCAGUCGACCGAUGUUAAGCAAAUAGGAUGGAGAAAGUAGGAUCACGGUCAAAGAUACAAGAUUGGACCUUGUCUGCUUCAUAUGACUGAUCGAGUGGAGGAAUCCUCCUAGCUCCUCGAGGGUUAUCCUUGUUCCCUGUGAUGGCAGUCAUCCACCUCUCCAGCGUGGCAUCCUCGACCUCCUCCGGGUGGAUCCGAGUGGUGUCUUCAGUGCCAGAAUACAUCCACAUCGGAUGGUCUCGAUAUUGAAGCGGCUGGAUGCAUCGUCGGAGGAAGACUUCCAAGAGAUCCAUGCCGGUCACCCCGUCACGGAUAAGCUGGACUACGCGCUUGACCAACACCUUAACCUGAACCUUCUCCUCCGGGACCACCUUCAAAGAGGACGGCUUGCUCACUCGGUCCAUGGAAAAAGGAGGGAGUCCAGUCGACUGCCCUGGCGUCGGCUGGUCUUGGCAGUAGAACCAGGUCGACUGCCACCCUCGGACCGACUCGGGAAGGACCAUGGCUGGAAAGGCACUUUUUCCCCUCAUUUGAACCCCAAGACCCCCACACAUCUGAAUCACUUGGGUUUUCUCAUCACUCGGAUUGGCCUUUUUUACCAUCUGGGAGCGACAGGUGAAAAUGUGUUUGAAAAGGCCCCAAUGUGGCCGGCAACCCAAGAAAUUCCCACACAGGGACACGAAAGCAGCGAGAUACGCGAUGGAGUUGGGUGUGAAGUGGUGGAGUUGUGCCCCAAAGAAGUUCAGAAAUCCUCAAAAGAAAAGUUGAGGAGGCAAAGAAAACCCACGGUCAACAUGGGUGGCCAAGAGGACACACUCACCCUCCUGAGGCUGCAGCUGCCACUCCUUCCCCGGGAGCCUCGCUGAUCCAUGGGGGAUCAACCCUUCAUUGGCCAGGUCAUCAAGAUCCUUCUGACGGAUCGUCGAGCGGAUCCACUCGCCCUGGAUCCAGCCCUGCGGCAGGCCGGCCCUUGACGAGGAUCCGCCCCGACUGGUCGCCCUUCCCUUUGCCUUCACCGUCGCCUUCUUCGCCCGCUCCAAAGCCGCCGUCUUCUCCUUCAACAUCGUCACCGGCAAAGCGCGCACGGAGCAGCAGCGCUGGGGUGGAGGUGAAUGCAGCGGACGAGUCUGAGGAAGAGGGAGAAGGAAAUAAGGGCGCACUGUUCAAAAAAAAACCGUCCGGCGCCUUAUAUGGGGUUGCUUCCGAGUGACUGACUGGUAGGCCCGGACGAUCCUAUCAAAUCCCGCAACAGUCGCGCACGCGAUACAUGGCGAAAAAGGUGGCGCGAAGAUCGAGGCGUUCCUGCCUUAUCCCAUCCGAGUAUCGCGGCCUCCUCCGCCUUGCGCGCUUCCCGAAAUUCAGAUCCCGCUAAAUCCGCAAACUGCAAAGCAACUUGUCAGACUGGAGAUUUCCUCCGAUCUGUCGCUCGGAGAUCUCCAAGUACAGAAACUUCACUCGACGGAUACAAAGAAUGGAUCAAGGCGACUGAAAAAGAAGUUGGUGCCGUCACCUAAAUUCAUUGAUCCAGAACAAGACAUACUCAUAACACGAAAAAUGGGUCGGAAGAGUUCUCAACUCCUUCCCCACUCAAACCUCGAUCCAUUUGGGGGCUAAUGAUGAAGCCAUGUACCUAGGGUAGGGUCAUGGACCUGUCCAAGAUACCCUCCCCAAGGACAUCUCUAGAAUAAGCUACCUUUCAGUCGACCUGGAAGGAUUCCACUUGACGAACUCGAAGACACUCGACCAUGAAGCCACUCACUCGACCACCAAGAGAUCUAGAGUCACUCUGCACACAAACGGUCAGUCAUUAAGUAGUCUUUAUGAUCAUCAUAGCACUUUAUGUAUGGCGUUACCAGUAACUCCAGGUCUUAAUGUACCUUAAACCCUACAUAACUGAGGGCCGGGGGGGUCUGGCGGACUCUAUAUAAGCCACCCCCUCCUCAGUGUAAAGGGUUCGCACCCCUGUAACUCAUACGCACAUAAUCCAGUCGACCGCCUCCGGGCUCCGAGAUGUAAGGCUAUUACUUCCUCCGAGAAGGGCCUGAACUCGUAAACAUCUUGCGUAUACAACUACUCCAUAGCUAGGAUCUUGCCUCUCCAUUCCUACCCCCCUAUUCUACUGUCAGACUUAGAACCACGACACCGGCCGCGGUGCCCUGCGGCAGCCUUGGCCGUAUCAGCAUUGGCCGAGGUGUUGCAUACCGACCAUUCCUCGCCAAUCUUGGUGAGCUUCCUGUCGAGGCGGUGGCGGCGCCACGCGACCAUCUCUGUGGUCCUGAUUGACCGAUCGAGAGCCCAUGCCGCGCCGGGCUGGGGUCGUUAAGGACCCAAGCCAGCUCCUUGUCUGACUUGGCGAACGCACAAUAGCAGGCAGUGUUGCGCCGCUCCUGCCAUGCCGCCUACCUCGCUACCCUAUCCUCUACGGACACGAUGGCCCAUGACGAAGAGGAGCCGCCACCACCGAGAUAGUGGAGGAUGCGCCUGCAUGCCUUCGCGUCGCGGGUGGCAACUCCUUCUUGAUGACCUGGUCGCACCAGUUGCAGCGCAAUGGUGAUGUCGUCUCCUCCUUCGAACGACACCCAAUUGGGCGCUGCAGUUGUGUGGAAGGUGUCGGCUCCUCCUUCACGCAACGCGCGAUUCGGGCGCCGCUGUUUGGGGGAGGGGCGUUGGCUCCUCCUUCACAUGGCGGAGAGGCGACACCUACUCCUGUUUGACACGGUAGCAUGGAGGGGAGUGUGGUUUCUCCUUGACGGCAUGCGGCGAUGAGGGUAGGGCCGGACCACAUUCCUGGAGCGACCGCUCGUCAGCAGCUCGAUUUGAUGGACGAACUCCCCAUCUGUCAUAGUGGCCUCCGAGAGAAGGCACGACUGCUGAAGGAGCGGCUGCUGCGGCAGCGACACCUGGUCCUCCACGUCAACGGAGGAGAAGGCGAUGGUUGAUCCCAAGGGUUGCGGAAAGCGAUGGCGAAGGCGCCAAGAUCCUAAGUUGCAUGUGAGGCAGAGAACCACGACUUGGGCAUGUUGUGGAUAGGGAGAUGAGGAGGAGUUCGGAGAAGCGGCUGAGCGUAGAGAAGUGGGUGUGGAUGUCGCCGGAGCACAUAGUAUUAUAUAGGCGGGACGAGGCCACGAACGGACUGUCAUACUACUUUAAUGUGACGCAUCGGCCGAAGUUUUGUUUCUUAAGAUGACGUGCCCGCAUUGAAGAGGCGACACCCGUCUGGUCGCAUCAGUCAACGCUGCCCUCCUAUCUGGUCACAUCGUGCGACAUCAAUGUCGGUCGCUGCGGCGCUAGGCCAGCACAAAUGCAGCGCGGGAAGCGACCCAUCCAUUGGAGAGAAAGCGCGGGGAAGUGUUUUGGAUGGGUCCGGCGUGUCGGAGCAGACGCCGCCCCCCCACGCCCCCUAGUUUGCUUCCAGUUUGCAGGAAAAUGGAUGCCCAGACCGGUCUAUAGACGGAUGCGGGAUCAUGUUGGAUGGGUAAACACGUUCAAACCGAACAGAUGCGGGGGGUUUGAGGGUCAGUGUUGGAGAUUCCCUUAGAGCAUUACAACCAAGAUUGUAAAAUUUGGCACCCUAUACGUCUGAGGACGUGUCCACGGACAGUGACCGUUCACCCUUAUUUCAACGCGUCCGCAACUGAGCUUCUCAAAUAUCCAACCCUCGAAUCCAUACAAUCCAUGCAACUACCUAGAUCGGCAUAGAAACAUAGCGUAAUCCGGACCCAAAAGAGCAUGUUUUUACGAUCACAUCCUAAAGAGCAAGUUCAUUACUGGACAUCACUAGAUACAUAGAUAAACUAGAUACGUAAAUAAAUGAUAGCUAGAUAAACGGAGAGGGGCAUCCGACAUCACCAUUUUCUCAUCGGUCCCUUCCCCUUGCAGUCACGAGACAGACGACAGGACUCCUUCACGUAGAUGCCUACACAGAUGUAACAUCCCCAAACUCUAAUAUUUAUUAACCCAUUUAACACCCAAGUAAUGAUUCCGUGCUUAUAUAAACACCUUGGUGUACAACUUUGUCGGUAAAACCCUGUACUAUUGUUGUUGACAUUCCGGUAGCCACUGAUGGACGAGAACUUUGUCGUUUGAUCGACCUCGUCAUAAGGAGCAACUCUUCGUCCCUGCCCGUGGUACCGACGUUGUUGCUAAGAUAGCUGACAAACUAUUUCCUGACAAACCUUGUAUCCUGGUCGUACAAGAUACCACCACCCUUCUUAUUCAUCAUGGUGGUAUGAAUGUUGAUCACUUCAAUUUUGAUAAUCAUAACGUUUAGGAAAUGCUCGAGUCCUCACAUGCAUAUUGGUGCAGUGUGCUUUAUCUUUCUGCAGCACUUGCGACUAUAUCUCCGAGUUAUCCAUGUAAUCAUUUACAUGGAUAACAACCUGCACUGGUAGACCACGAGGUGCGGGCUGGUGUGCCGCUUUGUCUCGGCCACGAGGUGGUCGGUCAGCCGCAUCCUGCACUGGUAGUGUAGGCUCUAGCACCUCCUCCUCGAAUUGGGGUAACAACCUGUGCUUCGGGUAACUUUUGGUUGGGCGCUCGAGUCCGUAUUCCUCGGCUGCCAGGACCUCAGUCCAUCUAUCAGUUAGCAGAUCUUGAUCAGCUUGAAGUUGCUGCUGUUUUUUCUUCAGGCUUUUUGCAGUGACUAUAAGCUGGCGCUUGAAGCACUCCUGCUCGACGGGAUCCUCAGGCACGAUAAAUUCUUCGUCGCCGAGGCUCACCUCGUCUUCGGAAAGGGGCAUGUAAUUUUCAUCCUCCGAGUCUCCAUCCAUUGCCUGUUCCUCAGGGCUAGCUUGCCAUCCUCCCGUCCGGCUUGCUCGAAGCUUGGCUGGCAGGAUUGUUUUCGUCUUUGGCAUCAUCCGGAGUGCUAUUGUCUCUUGUGCCGGUAUCGCUAUUUUUUUUAUGGCGGGGCUUAGAGCGGCGCCGCUGACGCCGGUGCUUAGAUUGCUUCUCAAGGGGAUUAUCCCCCGUUGCCUCAUCGCCCUUGCUUUCUUUAGGUGUGUCCACCAUAUAUAUAUAUAUAUAUAUAUAUAUAUAUAUAUAUAUAUAUAUAUAUAUAUAUAUAUAUAUAUAUAUAUCAUAUGAUGAGGUGGUUGUCCAGCGCCCUGUGGGCGGUGGUUCCUGUUCUUCUCCGGCAUCGUCGUCCAUACCGUUGAUGUCUUCGGAGUCGAAAUCAAGCAUCUCGGUUAAGUCGUCGACAGUGGCUAUUAAGUGGUGGUGGGUGGGUAACGAAUUUUUUCGUCGUCCGCUUCCCACUCCAGCCGGACAUAGUUUGGCCAAGAGUCUCCUGACAGGGAGAGAGAUUUUAAUAAGUUUAGCAUGUCGCCCAAGGGCGAGUGCUGAAAGAUAUCCACGGAGCUAAACUCCAUGAUCGGUGCCCAGUCAGGUUCGAUGGGCACGGAUGCGCGCGGUUCGGAACCUAUGGCCGGAGACGAGUCCGAGGGUCCGAUGACAUAGGCCUCGUUGGAGGUGAAUUCUGUGUUCGGCUCUAUCGCCGCUGAGUGUGCGGCCUCCGUGGCGGGGUCCAUCCACCCGUCCUCGGAUGACAUGAUCUGCUCCGGAUUUAAAGCCAGGGCAACUGCAGGUGCGAUCUCCUGAACACCGUCCGAUGGCAGAUCUAGGUCAUGCUCAUAGCGAUUGCAGGGUGCACCUGUUAUGGGCUCGAAUCCGUCGAAGAUCAAGUCUCCGCGGAUGCCAGCAGUGUAAUUCAGGCUUCCGAACCUGACCUGAUGGCCAGGGGCAUAGCUAUCGAUCUGCUCCAGAUGGCCAAGCUAGUUGGCCCGCAGUGCGAAGCCGCCGAAUACGAAGAUCUGUCCAGGGAGGAAAACCUCACCCUGGACCGCAUCGCUAUAGACGAUUGAAGGAGCCAUCAAGCCUUAUGGUGACGACACAGUGGAACUCUCAAUGAAAGCACCAAUGUCGGUGUCAAAACCGGCGGAUCUCGGGUAGGGGGUCCCGAACUGUGCGUCUAAGGCUAAUGGUAACAGGAGGUGGGGGACACAAUGUUUACCCAGGUUCGGACCCUCUCUAUGGAGGUAAUACCCUACUUCCUGCUUGAUUGAUCUGGAUGAUAUGAGUAUUACAAGAGUUGAUCUACCACGAGAUCGUAGAGGCUAAACCCUAGAAGCUAGCCUAUGGUUAUGAUUGUUGUUGUCCUACGGACUAAACCCUCCGGUUUAUAUAGACACCGGAGGGGGCUAGGGUUACACAAAGUUGGUUAUAGAGAAGGAAAUCUACAUAUCUGAAUUGCAAGCUUGCCUUCCACGCAAAGGAGAGUCCCACCCGGACACGGGACGAAGUCUUCAGUCUUGUAUCUUCAUAGUCCAACAGUCCGACAUAAGCAUAUAGUUCGGCUGUCCGAGGACCCUUAAUCCUGGACUCCCUCAGAGAGCACCUGCGAGUAGUUCAAUGCGGAGGCUGGCUGUUAGCGGUACCACCCAGUAUGUGGUGGUAGCUCGGGAUCUGUCCCGAUAGCCAAUAUGAAACAUUCACUAUGGCGGAAUGACAGGGCAGGAGGAGACCACCUAGAAGAGAGGUGGGCCUGGGCCCUGGUCAGGAUCCGCGGCUAUUUCAUAAUAACACACUUAACGAGAUUUGAAUAUUUGAUCUUAGGCUACCACUAGCAUAUACGCACUAACCGCCACGCGGGAUAAUGGUUAUGGGGCCCUCGGCAUCGUCAGUUCCUCUUGAAAACUCUGUCACGUGUCACAGUUGAGGGACACGUGCCCGGGUGAGCGGCAUGCCUGGUGUGUAUACAGAGGUGGGCUUGGUCCCGGUCGUCCUCGCAAUGUGCAUGAGUGCUUAAGGUGAUUGGCCCAUGAACCCUUCGCGCUUAGGAUGUAGACCGACGUGUUAACCACUCUGGAGAACCUAAGUAGGACUUCGGCGUGUCGAUUAUCCGAGGCCCGGCAUUACCCAGAAAAGUGUGUCCGACAGAGGUAAUCGAGCGUAUCGGGUUAUGUGAUGCACCUCUCCAGGAAAGUUUAACUAUUCAAAUAGCCCAGUCCACGGUAACAUGAUGACUUGAAGUUGUAUCCCGACCUCUUACAACUAAAACCAGAUACUUGAUAAAACACACCCAGAUAACAGACAGAUACCCCCAGAGAUCAGUUUCCCACAUGGAGACGAGGAGAGGAUCUCUGGGCAGGUUAUUGCUAUAUGUAUGUACAAGAUGAUACCAUAUCCGCUCCUCUUUUCUACUGCUAAAAGAUGUAGUCUCCGAUAGGUUGAGCUUCUCCUGCUUAUUCAGGCAUUUCUGCAGUUCAGUCCACAGAAAUUACCCCUUUCCUUUGAUAUGGAUGCAUAUCUAGUAUAGAUCUGAUGUAAGUCUUGGGAUUACUUUGGAUGUGGCCAUUUCUUUGAUACACUAUUCAUUCAACCUGGUUGCUGCAACAACUGGUAGCGUCGCGGAUGCAGGUUACCCCGAUGGUGCGUACUAUAUGGACACCGAUGACCAGGAGCAGUCGGGAUGUCCCAGGCAGGAGGCGUCGGCUUUCGAUCUAGCAUUGUUCUUUUGCUCGGCCUUCUUAAGGCAAAACUUGUCUAACUAUGUUUGUACUCAGAUGAUUGAUGUAUUAUGGAUCCUCGUGACCCUGACUUGUAAUAUAAAGAUUUAUGUUUAAUUUGUGUCGCAGAGUUGUGUUGUGAUAUUAACGUGGGUCACCGUUCAUGAUCCGACAUGAUAUGUGUAUGAUUAGUGCACGAUUAUGAAUGGGGCGUCACAGCAGAAGGUCUCGAAUGACGACGACGACGACGACGACGACGACGAAGAAGAAGAAGAAGAAGAAGAAGAAGAGAUGAUGCCGGCGAGACAUCGACAGUGUCGGCCCGCUCCUUUGUGAGUCCUGGCGCUUUUGCCGUGGGGGCCGCCUUCUCCUUCCCGAUGCCUCGAACUCUUCAUUGUUGAGCCGGAGCGUUCUUGCCUUCUUGCAGCGGAGGCGCCUCACGUCCGUCUCCAUCAUGGUGAGGACCUUGCCUAGGAUCUUCUCCUUCGAAUUGACCUUCAUGAACAUCGCGUAAGGUUGGGAGGACCUUGCGCCUGUGCGGGAGGCUCCGCCGCCCUCUGCACGGCCCGCUGCCUCUCGCGGCGUAUGGCGUGUGCCUCCGAUUCGGGCAUCCUUGUACGCUGGCUCGACGUGAGCACGAGCACUAAAAGCUGGCCGGGAGGAGCUAGGGCCAGAGGGGUGCGCCCGGUGACGGAUCAGGGGUGAGUGUAUGUGAGAGACUUCGAUUGUACUAUGUUAAAAGGAAAUUGAAAGAUCUACCGCCGAGUCGAGGGCAACGUUUUGGAGAGAGAAAGUCCGACAGAAAUUGAGAGAUCAAUAAAAUAUAUGCACAUAUAACAUUUGACAAAUACGGUUUACUGCAUUUUGUAUAUCUAACUUGCAAUUGACAUCGAUGAACCAAAACUCAAGAUUGAGCAAACAAACAAUCCUACCACUAUUGUUCUAGCAGACGCUCCUUUCCAUCAUCUCGUUGUAUUGCAGCCACGAGAUUUGCCGUUGCAGCUUCAUCUGCGCGUAGAACUUUGCGAUGAACUCGUCCGCCUUCACGUCCACCCCGGCAUCCUCGCCGCCCUCCACGGCUCCCGCCGAGCCGACGCUCGCCUCCAUCAUCGCGCGCUCGAGCAGCUGCUCAUCCGCGCCAUCGUCGAGGCUCUCCAGGCCGCACUCGCUGGGCUGGUCAUCGUAGAAGUCCCCGGAGCAGCUCGCGUCCCUCUCGCGGUCGUCGCGGAAGAAGUAGCGGUCGUCGCCGUAGACGCCGGGGGUGUCCGGGACGGAGGGCGCGAUGCAGGGGAUGAACCGGAGCACGCGCGCGGAGGGGGUGCGGAACCGGAACGCCGGCGUCUCGUCGAUGGAGAACUCCCGCUCGCCGUAGUGCAGCCGGUCGUUGCGCCGGCCGCCGUGGCCGAGGCCGAGGCCGCCGACGCGGCUGUGCCGCAGCGUCUUGAGCAGGCGGAGGCUCUGCGCCGCGCUCCCCUUCCGCGCCCAGAGCACCGCCAGCCGCAGCAGCCGCCACGCCCGGCCGCCCACGGAGGCCUUCCUCGUCGCCUUAGGAAACAUCGCCGGCGCCGCCAUUGUGUUUAUCUGCGUGGAUUCAGCAAAAGGAUCGCGAGGCCUGUGUAGCUGCUCCGCUCUUUUGCUUUUGGUAUGGAGGUUUGUUCGGUUGAGAAAGUUGGUGAUGGAUGAGUGUGGCGGGGAUCGCUGCAUAAAUAGGGACGGGUGGGAUGCUUUGCUUGUGUGGUGAGCCGGGAGCGGGAGCGGGAGCGCGGCGGGAGCGAAGGGAAGCGAGCGCGUCUGUUACUUGCGUCGCGUCUUGCUUGGCAGUUGGCAUAAGCUGGGGCAGCAGUGGAUGAUUGAGGUCAGGCGUGUGGGGCCCGGCCGCCAGGAGGGGCGCCACAUAGUGCGGCGCCUCAUCGGGCUGACGGACGGCGGCUAGGACGCGAUUGCGUCGCGCCUCCGAACGUGGGGCCGUUUCCACUCUCUGUCCCGUGGGUUCCCAUUUCCUGGUUUUCAUCCAUGACAGGGGCGUUUUUUCUUUUCUUUUUUGCGUAAACAUGACAGGGGCGUUUUGUUUUGCCUUCAUCAAGUGGCAAUGCACAGGAACAUGGUGUGAAGAAUCGAGACUGAAACUCCCUUUGUGAUCUCCUUGGCACUACCGCGUAAUUAGCCCCACUGGCUGCGUUUGUAGUACGUGGCCUCAACUGUAGUUUUUUGCCGGCACAAGCAGCUCUGCGCGUUCUGUUUUCAUCCAGUCACUUGUGAGUCGUGGAGCUGAAGAUCACGUGGUAUGGCGUCACAAAAAGAAUUGCAUUGCUUGUUCCUCUACGAACGCUUCUCAAAUGGCGCAUCAUUCCUUCUUAACGAAUCACUCUUAUAAAAUUAUAGCCACGGCUACGCGUUUCCCUAUUUCACGUCCCCUAUGCCAUGGAGUUAACUCUAGCUGCUCGUCAGCGGGGAACAUGGCUUUGCUUAAUCAAGAUGUAAACCGCGUGGCAGUGUGGACCAUCAAGACCUGAAACCCAACAACCAGCGUAAUCCCCGCGGUAGUAGCAGCUUCAGAAUAGUUUACAUCAUGGGAGUGGCCAGGUGUCCACGUCCACCUCACAGGGGUACAUGCCAGGCCAAGACCUCCACAGUGUCAUCCCGCACAAGUGAAAUCGUAUACGCGGUCUCCACGCUGCGUCGAAGCACAGGAAUGUACACCAGCCCAACGCAGAACAGCCUGAAGAACUGAAGCCGGAAAAUUUACCGUGAUGUUUUCUGAACCCCCGGUCUAAGAUUCUGUUUCUGUCUUGAGUAUUGCAUAUAAAGGUGGCGAAUACAAAUUUCCUCAGCCAGUAUAAAACAGCCGAAAAUCACUGCGCAGCUAGCCUUGAAAAUCACUGCGCAGCCAAGCUAAAAGAGGGGCACUAGCCGAAGCUUCCCAUGAAGUUUCACCAGACAUAUAAACACCAAAAGCAAACAAAUUAUACUUAUACGAAUCUGGUUCAUGGGGUUACAUGGCAUUCCCACAAAUCCUGGCUGACAACUAGACACAGCGGUCACACGCUGGAAAACCCAAGCCUGUCACGCCACCACGCAAGUACUACCAAACUGCUCACCACAAACACCUACAGCUCUGUUGUCAUAUAGCUGCAGCCUCAAGAAUUCCUGGUUGCUUUUGUGCUAAGGCUCCGCUGAACAAGACAGUUCACCUGAUUUUUUUGGAAUCAUGCAGCAUGGGAGAUAUGCAAACUGAACAAAACGAUCUAACGGUGACCGCGAUACUUAAGAUCACUGCUGUCAUCCUCACCUGAGGAGAUUAUAAUAUCGCCUUUCCGUUCGGCACUGAAGGGUGUGAUGCCAUGCCAUUAGCCCGACAAAGCAUUACCUGCUUACCACGAAUGAUUCAUUCAGAAUGAAGAGGCAGCGGCCACGAAAUAGCAGGGCUAGAUUGCCCACCUGCCAAAAAGAAUUGGACAGCACAGCAAGGCCUAGAUGGACGAAGCAGAUCAGACACAAGGACCUCUGGAAAAUCAAGACCCAGUCUGGAUCUUCCCAAUUAACGGCAAAGAAGGCAUGCUUGAAAUAAUAAUUUUAGUUAUAUAGUACUCCCUCCGUUCCUAAAUAUAAGUCUUUCUAGAGAUUUCAAUAUGAGCUACAUACGGAUGUAUAUAGACAUAGUUUAGAGUGUAGAUUCACUCAUUUUGCUCCGUAUGUAGUCCAUAUUGAAAUCUCUAGAAAGACUUAUAUUUAGGAACGGAGGGAGUAUUACUCAUGGAUCGGAGGGAAUACAAAAGUAAUAACUCAAUUACUAAAAGGCAAGACGCUGUUGGUAUUUUUCAACUUCUUUUUGUUCUUUGUUAUAAGACCCUUUGUUUUCGUUAUUACUCGUUUAGUUUGCUUAACAAGAGAACGGAUGGGCAGGAAAUUCCAAGAGCAUCUUGCAAGCUAGUAUUACUCAUCAAAUACAGAGAACAGAUCUCUCCAAAAUGUCUGGAUGCUCACCAUGCGCACCUGGGUCUCCCCAUGAUGCUCACAGUUGUUGUGAAUAAAAAUGCCGAAGGUACUGGUGCUUGUUGACUAAGUUUUUCCCUAACUCAGAAGACAGGAUGCCCAAAGAGUAACAUACAUAGAAUGUGGACCAUUUAUGUAAUUUUAAAACCCCCCAAAUUUUCUAAAGGAACCAGCUUAUGACACACAUAAAUAUAACUGUAGAAACGUCUCCAAACUGAGUACAUUGGUUGUAAAAAUAUCUUAUAUUAUUGGACGGAGGGAGUAGAAGUUAUCAAUAAAGUCCAUUUGCUUCUUUUGAUUUAAUUGUCCAGAUUAAAGCUAGAAAACAAAGACAAUAGGCAUUUCUAACCACUAAUAACCAAAAUAUUAUUUACCAUAAUUGCAUUCUAAACAUCAAAUUUGCUUCUUUUGCUUUAAUUGAUUAUUUUAUUUAUGACAACCAUUUGCGUUUUCUUCUGUGAUCACAUUACUCUCUGAUAUACUCCCUCAGUCAACUAAUAUAAGAUCUUUUAGAUCACUACUUUAGUGAUCUAAACAAUCCUAUAUUGGUUUACAGAGGGAGUGCCUUUCAAGAAGUAUAGUGCCCUUGUAGAGUAGCAAGGAAAGUGGCAGACUUGAAACCGAUCCUUAGAUUAGACAAUUCAUAUACAUAUUAUGACAUCUCGCAUAUAAGUAGGGACCAGAGUAUGUCUUGCUAAAUAAGUCUGCAUACUGCUAGUCAAGAUGGGCAAAUAAUAUUUUCAUUACAAUUGAUCAGUAGCGAUUCUGAUUGUUUAAUUUAUUCUAAAGCGAGGAACAGAACGAUAAUUUCUAUACAUGUUAAAGAUGUUCAUUAAAAUAAACACCACCUGCCUUUAAGAAUAAGUAAUCAAACUAGUGACAUGACUGAUUCAAUUUCACAGAUGUUGAGAAUAUUGCCACAACCUCUAUGUCACUAAAGUAUCACACAUACAAACUAGCAACUGAAGGUCAAAUGCCUGUAAUAUGGAUAUCACUACAGGCUCCAAUGUUCAAGUCCACCAUUUAUCCAGGCAAGACAUACAGAUAUCUAAAGAAGAGGCUUUUAGAAUACCUCAAAGUUCUGAACUCGAAUCAUAUGCACAAAACAGAUGGUGCACCAACAUGCCCAUUUUGUCUUACUCCCUCUGUUCCUAAAUAUAAGUCUUUCUAGAGAUUUCAAUAUGGACUACAUACGGAUGUAGAUAGACGUAGUUUAGAGUGUAGAUUCACUCAUUUUGCUCUGUAUGUAGUCCAUAUUAGAAUCUCUAAAAGGACUUAUAUUUAGGAACAGAGGGAGUAGAUGCUAGAUAUACUACUGGCAGGUUGCUACUCAUGCCCAUUUUGUCUUACUCCCUCCGUUCCUAAAUAUAAGUCUUUCUAGAGAUUUCAAUAUGGACUACAUACGGAUGUAGAUAGACGUAGUUUAGAGUGUAGAUUCACUCAUUUUGCUCUGUAUGUAGUCCAUAUUAGAAUCUCUAAAAGGACUUAUAUUUAGGAACAGAGGGAGUAGAUGCUAGAUAUACUACUGGCAGGUUGCUACUCAUGCCCAUUUUGUCUUACUCCCUCCGUUCCUAAAUAUAAGUCUUUCUAGAGAUUUCAAUAUGGACUACAUACGGAUGUAGAUAGACGUAGUUUAGAGUGUAGAUUCACUCAUUUUGCUCUGUAUGUAGUCCAUAUUAGAAUCUCUAAAAGGACUUAUAUUUAGGAACAGAGGGAGUAGAUGCUAGAUAUACUACUGGCAGGUUGCUACUCAAUCACAUUGUAUUUUACAAUGUUCCUAAUGCUUUAUUCAAACGAUCUGAGUAUAGUAAAACAGAUAUCAUGAACUAAGCCUAAUCCAGUAACUCUUUACUUGUUCGUCUAAAACAUGCUUGACUUUACAUGAUAAAAUCCAAGUCUUGAUGAUAUCUACUGGCAUAAUUGGCACAAGAUAAAAUCUGACCCGGUGUAACUUGCUCAGAUGCGAUACAUUUCAAUUUAUAGCCUAGUAAAUGCUCAUCAAAUCAUGUCAAGAACUUAAAACCUGCUGAUAUAUGUGUCAUUGUUAAAAUGAAUGUAAGUCUAGCAGAACAAGCUAGUUGUUAUAUCUACAGUAUAUACUAUCCAAUCAGAAUCAAAUUACUACAUGGGAGGCCAUCUGUAGGUAAAAAGCUGAACAAGAAAAAAUGUCACAAUCUCAGGCUGCUGACUUUUCAAAGUCAGUCAUUGGAUUUGUAUGAUCACAACUUGCAAAGACACAAUAGCUGUGGCUCAAAGGUCUCACAGCUUUACUUAAAAGAUACCGACCAUCCUGAUUUCCAGAAAGUAUGAAAGGGCACUUACAAGAUAACCCAACUACAUUCCAGUUACACAUUCAUUCUAGUUUCCUACGAGGAGAUAUGAAAACUUCUGGUACUGACAUAGUUUGAGAUGUCCUUAGCCCUUGAAUUGCCACUCCCUACGGCACAUGGGGCAAAGGGGGGUUGAUGUUUGAGAAUUGACCCACUUGAGUAUGCAGUGAAGAUGGAAAGCAUGGUUGCAGGCACCCCAAAUGAUUGGGCAAUCAUCACCAGGGAACUUACAAUCAGGGCAGCAGCCGUCAAAAGCCAUCCUGCAUAUGCCACAUGUCUCAUCCUGUGCGUCCCAUGUCCAAGAAGCCACCGCAUGCCACUGAAGAAUUUUGACCUUCAUGGCUGUUACCUGGAAUACAGCAGUAGAUGCAAUGCAUGAGUCAUGAGAACAUUGUACAAAUUGCAGUUUAUCAGAUAGCAAUCAAGAAGGAAUAAGGCAGAAAGGAGAAGAGAAGUUCGCUAAAUUAAAUGGUCUAAAAGAACACAUGUAGUAUUAGCUUUCCUGUCUUCAGUUUUAAGGCUGAAGUUGCAGCUUGCAGGUAAAGAUAGAGUGAUAGAUAGGUAGAUACAAGUCAAUAACACAGUACACCAUUCGAAUGGCUCAAAAGUCCCAACUACUAGUAUCCACACAGCGAUGUGGUCAACACAUUUCCUCACAAUAUGCAGGGGCGGGCUUAACAUGAGACAUAGGAAUACAGUUGAACCAUUGACUUUACAGAAAAUAAGAUGUGCUUGCACCAGGACAGCAACUCUUAUGUCUCAACUGAGGUCGAUCUUGUAUGCUGUGGAAGAACCAAUGUUUGGGAAGAACCUAAUGGAUCCACAUAUGAAUGGAUGAAUUGGAAUGGCUCAAGGAGGACGACGCUGUGUUAUAGUAACAGCAAAAUUAGGAAUAGUCGAAGGAGUGGAGCAGUGCUGGUCGGGCCAGACAACGAAUCGAGCCACAGCUCAAAGAUAGUCCCCCUUCUUUGAUUACCGUUAGAUCUUCUUUAGUAUUUACCCUUGCCAAGCCCUACCGAGCCAAUUGCCGCUUUACCAUCACCAUACCAGAAGAACACCUAGCAAAUAACGAAAUAACAGCACCAUAGCAUGGAAAUCCACGAGAAGAAGCCCCAGAACCAGCUGCUUCCAGGUUACUAAAAGUACUGUACAUAGAACGCUUGGAAUUUGAGCAGGGCAUUUCCUCGAACACUUUAUGCCCAUAAACUCCAAGUGCAGCAUACCGAUGUUGCCCAUGAGAAGAACGCCACGCAGCAGCGCCUUCAGUGGCCGAUGCAACCCAUGGUUCAUGCCGGCCGUAAGCACUCACAGACCAGCACAUGUUCGAUUUGCGGUUAGAAUGCAUUGGCGAUUUACAACGGUCGAGGUCGCCGGCUAAUUCGGCUUUGGGGGGCGGCAGGAGAUAGGGUUAUGGUUAGGGAUAGCGACGCAGUACCUUGACGGGGGGCAAUGGAGGGGGCACGCGCGGGCCUCAGGCCGCCGUCGACCCGCCUUGGUCGCUCGUCCGCUUUCCCUCCCAGUCAGUCACUCGACUCACUCCGGUGUGUCUGUCACUGUGCGUGGCGUGGAGAGGCGAGGGGUGAGGUCAAAAGGAUGGGCCUAAACUCAAGUCUGUAAGCGGCCCGUGGCAGUGGUAGUAGCCCUGGGCUGAACCUUUGUGGGUUGUGGACUUGUGGUGCUGCCGGUAGGUUGUUUGAGAACUUAACCCGGGACAAUAGUACCACCUCGCCAGCGGGAGCGAGAACAAACGGGUAGCUGGCUAUAUAAGAGAGCGAGGUGCAGUGAAGUAAAGCACGCAGCUGCGUGGUGAGCACAAAGCGAAACCUUUUACUCCCUCCGUCUGAAAAUACUUGUCAGCGAAAUGGAUGUAUCUUGUGCAUGCCACAAUAAGCAGCAUACAGUAAUUUUUGAAGGGUGUCUCCUUUUGAAGGGGACCCCAUCAAACCAAAAAUCGGAAUAAUUAUUGAGGUACUUGCAUCCCAUUUGUAUUGUGUUGAAAAUUAAAUGCCUAUGUCGUUAAGUGAUAUUGAACGAAUUGUGGUUCUGCAAGGAGGUGUGUCACAUGCAUCUGGCUGUUGCGGUACCCGUCACCGUCAGGGUGGCAAAACUGCACAGCUCGAUCCAUCUCCGUCAGGUAGUAAUUUCCCGAGAAAGGCAUCUUUGCCACCAGCUCCAGGCGAGAGGACAACUCAUUCCAGAUGCUACGCAACGCGGCUUCACGGUUGACGCCUAGCCCAGGCGCAUCGUCUCUUUCUGCGCACCAACUCACGUGAGUGUGAGCUAGUCGCAUCGCAUCGACCAUUGCCUGAUGCAGCAGCAGGAAUCUUUCACGUGCGCACUUCAUCCACCCAAAUGGAGAAGUUGCAUGCUCUCAAAUUUGUCACUCAACAUAAUUACACAGGUUAGGUUACGCUCAUGGAGGAAAACGACUCUUUUUUGCUAACUUAAGAGGAAAUUAUCAAUUGAGAGCAGUGGACAGCUUGUUUCAUACGUGGGACAACAAAGUCUUGUCUUGGCAAAUCGAAAACAGUUGGCGGCAACGGCACAGCAAAUUGAGGGAACAGGUUUCUGAUACGCCAAUUUGGGGAUGACCCAUUUUCCUCUCAUGAUUCAGUUAACCAUGUCUCCGUCAUACUGAAAGUGGUAUAAAAGAACCCAAAAAAAUCUCAAAACAUCAAAAUCCACAUGCAGAAUGGCGUGGCUUAAGGAGAGACAUAGAGAUAUCAUGAAAAUUCACCAGUUCCUUUCCAAAGAUUCAACUCCUGUUGAGACAUUCUUGAAACAACUAGCUAAUUAGCAGACAGUAAGAACAGCAUCUGCAAUCAACGCAAUCUCAUGAGGAAGCUCUUAAUUCUUUUUUGUUUCCUAUAAACCUGACCCAAAAGUUACCAUCACAACCUCAUGGACAAAAUUAGCAAAGGCAACAGCAUCCGUUACUCGCACAUUGUUGCAGCGUCUUCUUCGAUCCCAAUAGAACUCACCCAAGACCACGGAUUCUGGAAGAGAGAAUUAAUAAGGGAUAGAUUAGAGGUGAGGUUGAAAUAUCAGGACCAAAUGGUGGUACUAGUGAUAUGUUACAGUACUACUACUUGGAAAGGGGAGCACUCAUGGAAAUAAAAGUUGUGAUCAAUUUGGUACUCGUUGGAGAUCUGUCAUGUCAUAUGUAGUACUAUUUCCUUAAAUAAGCUUGCAUAAUGGAGGAUGAAACAGGAUUGCAGUUAUACCAACACGUAGGAACCGGGAAAAACGACAGAAAUUUUAUGCGAGAAAUGAAAUCCCUUCUAGUAGUGUUUAUAGAAGGCUAACGGAUUUGCGAUUUCUCGGAUGAAACCCGUUUCCACAGUGGAAGGAGGGG
This 63919-nucleotide long non-coding RNA is filed under the name Triticum aestivum (bread wheat). RNAcentral describes it as "long non-coding RNA (TAES_LNC003372)". Lineage: Eukaryota; Viridiplantae; Streptophyta; Magnoliopsida; Poales; Poaceae. The record is from RNAcentral.